RNAcentral lists this long non-coding RNA (45880 nucleotides) under Marmota monax (woodchuck). The record is from RNAcentral. Lineage: Eukaryota; Metazoa; Chordata; Mammalia; Rodentia; Sciuridae.
GCACCGGGGACGGCCAAGGGACGCUCGAGCGCGAGUUCCUCAAAUGUUUUCCUGCGUUGCCAGGACUGUCCGCGGCUCUGAGUCAUGUGCAAGUGGGAAGCUGCCCUGACACCGCGCCGGGCCAGAGGGAGCUGAGUUGGGCGCUCGGCGGGGCCGAGGCACUCGGCUGGGAGCGGAGCGCGGCCGCGGAGGGGCUCGGAGGGGCCCGCUCGCCCUCGCGUCGCCCGGCCCGGCCCGGCCGCCCCCCACCUGCCUCCCUGGGACCGCGGGCGGCGGCCGAGGAGGAAGCAUGCUGGCCUUGUGCGCGCUGCUGGCCGCGCUUUCUGCGGCGCCCGGGGCGGCGCUGGCUCCAGGGGACUGCGCGGCGCUGGGUAAGGGCUCCCGCGCGCCGGGGGUCGCGGGCGGGUGGGGGAUCCGCCGUGGCCGCUCACGAUCGGGCGGGGGGUGGCGGUGGGGGGAGACUGGAACGAGCAAAGGAAGUGAGGUCGCCCCCCUUUUUUGUGGCUACCUUAGGUGUCCGCGGGCACCAGUCGCCAGAGCAGGGCUGAUCCCGCUGCGGGGGUGGGUGCGCCCCCUGCUGCGUGCUGCUGCGCUCGGGUCUGUCUGUGCCUCGGUAGCUACCUGAGGUCUAGGUACAGGACAAGGACCUGACUCCCGCGUCCCAGAGCCCCAUGCAUCUAUUUUCUCCGGUUAUUCUAAGUGGAGAUGCCACCGAGGGCGCCCCAGCGGGGCAUCCUAUGUCCCCGCACCCCGCUUCUCCCUUGUGUUUGAGCGGGGCACCCCGCCUGGUUCUACCCCAACCCUCUGGUGUCCGUGUGGAUGACAGUGCCCUGACUGUGAAGUCUGACAUCACGGGCGCUGAGUCACCGAUUCUCCCGCCGCACGCACUCGCUUCAGGGGGCACCAGCUCUGGCAAGCCAAUUGUCCCGUCCUGGGAAUUUAACUGAGUGGGCAGCAAGGCAUUGGAACCUUCUGGGGGUGACCUGAGCUGGAUACCCCUUUCAGACUGGAGAGUGAGGGCCUCGUGCCCCUGUGGACUGCACUCUGCCCCCGCUGCCAGGCCUUUCCAUGGGUCUGGCUACGCGCCCAGCGGCCUGCCUGGGCUUCGCUCUAGAGGACCUGCUGCUCUAGAGGGUUGUUUUAGGGUCUGAGGGCUUCUUUGAGGACACAACGGAAAACCAAGGGGCAGCCGGUAGAUAUUUGGAACGGAUGGCUGGGAGACAGUGGCUCUGGCUGUCACUGCUUAUGCCACCCUGAGCUCCUGGGGGAACCACUUUUUAGAUUUCUCCCCGCAGGAAAGGUAAGGUCCACACAGGUGGAAGUUGGGCUGGAAUGCCUGUGGCUCUCUUCGCUUUCUGGAUGGUUGUGGUCUUUGAGUUCAGAAGAGAAAAGUUACUGCACUAACAGGCCAGUGUUGACAGAGACCAGGGUUUACACAUCUUCUCCUUCCCCUUGCCCUUCCCCUUCCCCCCUUCCUCCUCCUCCUUUUUUUUUUGGUGCUGGUAUUGCACCCCGAGGGCUUCACCGCUGAGCGACAUCCCCAAAAUAUUUUUGAGACAGGAUCUUGUUAGCUGAGGCUGCCUUUGAACUUGGACUCCUCCUGCUUCAACCUCUCACUGUGGCUGGGAUUACAGGCAUGCACCACUGUGCCUGGCUACAGGUUUUUUUUUCUUUUUUUGGCCAGGGAUUGAACCCAGGGAUGCUUAAUCACUGAGCCACAUCCCCAGCACUUUUUAUUUUUUUUUUAUUUUUAUUUUGAGACAGGGUCUCCUUGAGUUGCUUAGGGCCUUACUUGGUUGCUGAGGCUGGCUUUGAACUCCUGAUUCUCCUGACUCGGCCUCUCAAGCCACUGGGAUGACAAGCAUGAGUCACCAUGCCUGGCUUCACUUUGACGAAGCUACAGGUUUUUUUUUUUUUUUUUUUUUUUUAAUUCUCCACUGAUCUACAUAAAACUUUGAAAGAGGCGACUGAAGUUCAGAGAGUUUGGGAUGGGAAGUCGUCAAGCCUACCUGAUGAAGGCUUACUCCUCUGUGGCUCUGUGCUUUACUGUGGCAGAUCCCCGAGACUCCCAGAUGUAGAACUGGACCCGCAGACAGAGCUGAGGAUAGUUAGGGGCAAGCUGAGAGCCACUGGAUGCUGGGGCAGAGAGACUGAGCAAGGGGAAGUGGAGGCCAAGACCUGCUCUUGGUGGAGUCAGAGGGAUGCAGAGGCCUUCCCAGCUUCCCCAAGAAGGGAGCAGGGCUCGCUGCCUGCCUGCUCCUACUCCUGCCACUCCCCAGGGCACCUUCCCAGGAGGCUGCUGCUGCUGCUGGAGGCGUCCUUUGGUUCCUAGGUAGCUGCAAGGCCCUGUAAGGACAGUCGUUGUGCUCAGUUCUGCUUCCCUGGUGCUCUGAAGAGAUGGGCAAGGGGAUCUCAUGACAGAGCGCUUGUAAAAGACAGAAAUGAGAAUUGGGGGAGGAAGUGAAAGCCCUCCCAGCUCAGAAGGAAAAUGCAGAGAAGGAGAAGCAUGCAGCUCCUCUCCCACACCCACUCAGACUCAGCCCACAAACUGAGAGCAAAAAUACAGCAAUUGUACAGGAAGCCCGGAGCAAAUGACUGUGAGAUAGCCCGCUGGAGAGAAAUGGGGGGCAGAGGAGGCAGCGGAGGCUGAGCAGAGGGGAAACCUGCCGGCCUGCCUGGGCGUGGAACUCGCAGAGCCCAGAGGCAAGCUUUCCCAGGGUCAGCAGCCAUCCCAGGUCCAGGUGCAGCCAGGACUCCUCAGCAUCCUUGCCUAGGAGAAGGACCCCGGGCCAGCUGGGUCUCAGGCUUCAGCUCUGACAUUCAGGUGUCAGGCUGGAAGCCUGGGCGUGGGUCAUUCCAGUUCCCCUCGGUGCAAGAAAAUACACAGAACGCCAUGCACACCUCUAAGUGUCUCAGAGUCCGGUCAGGACCUCUGAAUUUCCUAUAGGGCAAACUCUCCCUCCCUCCCUCACCUGUUUGUAUCCCUAGGCUCGCCCUCCAUCAGUGUUUCUCAGAAGGAUUGUUCUGGGUCUAGCCUGAGGUUUGGGGUCUGUGUUGGAUGAGUGGAGUCUUGGUAAAACGCUGAUUCUCAGCGCCCACCCCAGAUUGAUGGGUUGAUGGACGGGUACUGGGGCUUGAACCCGGAGGAGCUUUGCCAUUAACAGGUCUUGCUAGGUUUCUGAGGCUGGUUUUGAACUUGAGAUCCUCCUGCCUCAGCCUCCUGAGUUGCUAGUAUUACAGGUGUCUGCCACUGUGCCUGGCUCAUGCCUAACUUAUUAAAUACGAAUAUCAGGGAGUGAGUUCUGAAAAAAAAAAUUUUUUUUUUUAAACAAACUGCCCUUCAUGAUUCUUAGGCACCAUCGGGGUUGAGAACAUCUGUCUACAUGGUGUGAUUGAGGAACUGAAUAAACGCCCUUCCCCUGCAGCCUCCCAGCUGCCAGAAGUCUGUCCUCACUUUGGCUCUGUCCCUUGUUUAUCACUGCAACAAACAUUUUUUUUUUUUUUUGAGUCCCUGGAAAGCCCAUGAGGCCUCCGUGGGAUCAGCCACUCAGACUCCACCCUGAAAGGAGCCUGAAAAUGGUCAAGUACAAAUCCUGAAGAGGACAGAGAAAUGCAGUCUCUUUGACUUGCCUGCUUGGUACCGACUCCUCACAGACAAAUUGGCUAGGGAGGUGGCCAGAAAAAAGUGACCCUGUUGGAGGACCACAGUCACCAAGAGCACCAACCUGACUCCAUCCCCUCCUCUGGAUCCUCAGCAAACAGAGUAAACAGUACUCCCCGCAUGGGGAACUUGUAGGGUACCCAGAGCAACCCGGAUGCUCACGGCUGCAAGUAGGCAGCUUCCCUCUGCCCACCCUUCCCUCUGCCCACCCUUCCCUCUGCCCACCCUUCCCGACUCUCCACACUUGCAUCCAGAGUACUCCCAGUCACCAACUCUAAUCCAGGCCCAAAGCUAUCUAAUAUGCUAGCCAGUGGCCAUGUGUGGUCAUUUAAAUUUAAAAGCUAAUUAAAAUCAAAUCAAACGUGGGGCUUAGUGGCAUGUGCCUGUAAUCCCAGCAACUAGAGAGGCUGAGACAGAAUAGCAAGUUUGAGUCCAGCCUCAGCAACUUAGUGAGACCCUGUCCACCCCCACCGUAGAAUAAAGUAAAAUAAGAUAAAAUAAAAAAGACUGGGGAUGUGACUCAGUGGUUCGAUCCCUAGUACCAAAACAAAGCAAAACAAAAAGUUAAACCGAAUGAAAAAUGUAAUUCCUCAGGUGUAUUAGCCACAUUUCAAUGAUCAGUGACCACUGUAUGGGCAGCCCAGAUACAGAGCAUUCCCCCGUCAGUGGAAGUUCUACCCGGCAGUCCUGAUCUGUGUCUUCUAGAGGUUUCUGUCUGUCCUCCCCCCUUCCCUUCCCCCUGUCUUUCUCUCCUGUCCUCCUCCUUUCUUUCUUGGCACCGGGGAUUGAGCCAGGGCCUCAUGCUGGACAAGCUCAUUCUGCACAGGUAAUGGCUGAGCCAGACAGAGAGAUCUCUGCCCCACCUGCCAGGUAAAAAGAAGGUAGCCUUGGGCAAGUGACUGAAUCUCUCUUGAGACUCCAUGUCACCAUCUGGAAAAUAUAAAAAAAAAAAUCAUACAGCCGGCCCUCUGUACCUACAGGUCCCAUAUCCAGGGAUUCCACCCAAGUACACUGAAAAGUAAUGGAAAAAAAACAUUGCCCUCAUACUGAACACGUACAGAUAGUAUAGUUCUAACAAGUACGCAGACAGCGUUUACAUGGUUAGGAGGGAGGACCUAAAGUGUAUGGGAGGAUGUGAGCAGGUUAUAUGUAAAUACUUGUCAUUUUAUAGAAGGGACUUGAGCACUCACAGAUUUGGGUAUCUGAGGGGGUCCUGGAACUGAGGAUGACUGUACUACCUCACAGGGUGGAAUGAGGAUUAAAUGCGCUAAGGAAUAUUUCAGAAAAGUCCCCAGCACCAAGCAAGUGCAGUGAAGCCAGCUCAGUGGUGCACACCUGCAAUCCCAGAGACCUGGGAGGCUGAGGCAGGAGGAUCUCAAGUUCAAAGCCAGCCUCAGCAACCUAGUGAGGGCCUAAGCAACACAAUGAGACCCUGUCUCAAAACAAAAUACAAAAAAAGGUCUGGGGAUAUUGUGUCUCAGUGGUGAAGCACCCUUGGGUUCAAUCCCCAGGCCUAAAAUAGAAUACAAAAGUAAAAAGAGCUGGGGAUACGGCUCAGUGGUAGAGCACCCCUGGGUUCAAUCCCCAGGGCUGCAAAAAUAAAAACAAAAGUGUAGUUAAUCAUUUAUUCGUUUCAAGAUUUAUCUUGAGCUCCAAUUGUGUUGCAGGCACAAUUCUAAGAGUGAGAUGCAGAAGUGAACAAAACGGACAGAAAUCCCCAGGUUAUGCAGCUUCCUUCUAGCGGGGGAAAGAGCAGGAUGUAAAUUAAAAAUAUAGUAUGAUAGCAACUAGUGCCAAGGGGACAAGCCUGGGAGAGAGGGUGGCACUGUGGGUUGGGGACGGUGUGAUGCAGAACUGGUAUUUUAGGGGACGCCUGGCUGAGGGGUGAUGUUUGAGAGAAAGCCUAAUGGGAACAGGAAAAUAUUUAGAGAUUUCCUGGGCUCCCGCCUCCCCUGAGACCAUCUAUCCUUCUCGAGGGCCUCUCAUGUUCUGGGGCAGAGGGUUCUGUAGGGAUACACAGAUGUUCCCCGCCCCAGAGAAGCUGCGGUGUCUCUGAGGACAGAGGCCUCAGCCAUUCAGCCCUGUGGACACCAGCUGGGCAGGGAUGUGCCAAUUGUCACAUCAUUGACUCUGGGUGAGGUGCAGAUCUUUUUUUUGGCAGUACUGGGAACUGAUCCCAGGGGUGCUUCACCACGGAGCCACAUCCCCAGCCCUUUUUUAUUCUAUAUUUUGAGACAGGGUCUCACUGAGUUGCUUAGGCCCUCACUAAGUUGCUGAGGCUGGCCUUGAACUUGCAAUACUCCUAAUAGCUAGAAUGCAGACAGGCAUCUCCACAGCCAGCUCAGAGGGUUUUUGAGGGCUGCAGUGGCCCUGGAAGGCAGAGAAAGACUUUAAGCCUCACCCCUGGGGGUCCUUGGGGAGUGCCUUUUGGGAAGUCAAUCUGUGUGCUCCGCCCACUGCCCUUCCCUAGGGAUCAGAGAUGUCUGAAGUCCCUAGCAGCGGGGAAACCUUGUCUGCUACAGUCCUGGGCUUGGGUUUCACUUUUAACUGAAACUCAGCAGACUACCCUCCUUCCCAUCUGCCUCUUGCCAGCUCUGUGCCUGGCUUUGUCCCCAUCUGUGUGGCCCUGAGGCCUUGCACCCAGGCUGUCCCCCCAGCAACCUUUCUCCAACUCGCUUCCCUCUCCUCUUCCUAAACUCCUUCCUGAAAGCAUCCUUUGGUCUUCCCUGUCUACGUGACAAUUGCAGUAAAUGCGACAAUUUAUGAAGUGCUAACUGUAUGUAGGAAGUGUGCCAAGCUCUUGUGCCUGCGACCAUCUUGAUUCUCCUUAACAGCCUUAGGUGGGAGGAACGCAGCACCCUGGCCUGGGUGGGGUGGGCUACAAACCGGACGCACGCAGGUUUUGUGGGAAGGGAGGGUCAGAGGUCAAUUUGAGAUGAGACCACCUAAAGAGCAGGCUUCCGGAGAGCUGGUACAGGAGGAGGCCUGAGCCUAGGGAUGGAUGUGGGGCCUCCACAGGUGGAUGCUAUUUUAAGCCCCGACGCUGGCCGUGAUCACCCUGGGCUGGAUAAUGGGGAAAAGAGGGGGCCUGAGCCUCUUCUGGAGCCACAGGAAGAGGAACCAGCAAGGGGACUUGAGAACAUGUGGCCAGUGAAGCAGGAGAGAGAUGGGGACAGUUGUGCUCCCAAGAAGAGUGGUUUCUCCCGAUGCUGAGCGGUCGGCCGGGGGGACCAAGCUUGAUUUAGCAACAGGCAGGUACCUGGUGGUGGCCUUGACCCGGGAAGUUCUGGUGAAAGGGCAGGGACCCAAGGCUGGUGAACAGGAGAAUAGGAGAGCCCCAGGUGGUGGCACUCACCUGUGAUCCCAGUGACUUAGGAGGCUGAGGCAGGAGGAUGGCACAUGCAAGACCAGCCUGGGCAAUUUGGCAAGACCCUGUUUCAAAAUAAAAAAGGGCUGGGGUACGGAUCUAAGGUGGAGCACCCUGGCUUCACUCCCCAGUACCCGUCCCUCCAGAAGAAAGUGAAAGAGGGAAAGGAGAACAGGAGGGAAAUGGGAAACAGGGGGUAGGGGACGCUCUUGAGGAGGGCAGCUGUCAACGAAUGGCGUGUUCAUGAGCCAAAGUACGGUGGACUAGGGGGAGGCUGUUUGCUUGUUUUUUUUUUUUUAAAAAGAGUGAAACAGCAGCAUGUUACAUGCUGAUUAAAAGGACCUAAUAGAGACUGAAACAUUGACAGAGAGGUGACCUUGUAUAGGUGAAAAGAAACAGGCUCAGAGAGGUUCAGUAACUGGCUCAAGAUCACACAUCAAGGAGUGACAGGGGGCUGAGCUUUUUCUACCACAUCAUGCGUGUUGCCAACAAGCCCUACUCUUCCCAGGGCAGAGGGACAGGGAGGUCGUCUGUCUUCCCGGUGUCCUCACUAGAAACUCACUGCACCCCUUCCUGUUGGUGUGACCAGGACAGCCCCCUCUUGCCCUAGGAAGUACUUAUUGCCUUCCCCUCCCCUCUCGCUCUUUUCCCUUGGAACUGGGGAGUGAACCCUGGACACCCAACCACUGAGCUCCAUCCCCAGCCCUUUUUUUGUGUUUUAUUUAGAGACAGGGUCUCAUCAAUUUUUAGGAAUUGCUGAGGCUGGCUUUGAACUUGAGAUCCUCCUGCCUUAGCCUCCUGAGCUGCUGGGAUUACAGGCCUGGCCUCCAGUAUUGCAGAAAACCCCAAACUUUCUCUCUCUCUUUCUCUGUUUUGAAUUUCAUUGCAUGGAUAUACAGAAUUUAUUUAUCUCGUCCCCCACCCUUUAAAAUCUUUCUUUUUAGUUGUAGAUGGACACAAUACCUUUAUUUUGUUUAUUUAUGUGGUGCUGGGGAUCAAACCCAGUGCCUCGUGCAUGAUAGGUGAGUGCUCUACCACCGAGCCACAACCCCAGCCCUCAAGUCCCCUUUUGAUGGACAUUUAGUUGUUUCCUGCCUUGCUAGACACUGUUGUGGGGAUACCAUUGCAUCCCUCAUGUGACAUGAGUGCAUAUCCUGCGGGAUAAAGUCCUCAAAGUGGGGUUGAUGAGUCAAAAGAUACGUGUAUGUAUAUGUGUGCAUGUGUGUGUGUGUGUAUAUAUAUAUAUUUGGUCCUGGGGAUUGAACCCAGGGGGCACUUAACCACUGACCCACAUUCCCAGAUCUUUAUUUUUUAUUUUGAGACAGGGUCUUGCUAGGUUGCUUAGAACCUCGCUAAAUUGCUGAGGCUGUUUUUGAACUUGCAAUCCUCCUGCCUCAGCCUCUCAAGUUGCGAUUUAUGAUUUUGACUGAGAAUAAACGUUGCCCUGAUUUAUACUCCUAGUGACAAUGUGAUGACCUCACACCUCUUCCAGUGUGUUAUUAAAGUGGUGUCUACCUAGAAAAUGGUAUCUGGGUGGAAUUAAUCUGCAUUUAAUUUAUAUGAGUGAGACUAGAUUUUUUUCCCCACAUGUAAUAGGCUUUAGCAUAAUCUAUUCAUAUAAUCUACCUGUUCUUUUUUUUUUUUCCUUUGGUACCUGGGAUUGAACCCAGGGGCACUUAACCACUGAGCCUCAUCCCCGGCCUUUCGUUAUUUUUUAUUCUGAGACAGGGUCUUGCUAACUUGUUUAGGGUCUCCCUAAAUUGCUGAGGCUGGCUUUGAACUCAAGAUCCUCUGCCUCAGUCUCUCCAGCCGUUGGGAUCACAGGUGUGUGCCACCGCACCCGACUUUCAUUUUUUAAAAAUCUUUUUCUUAUUGUUUAUGGGAGCUCCUGAUAGAUCAAGGGAUUCAGUCCUGCUGUAAUGAGUUGAGUUGUGGACAUUUUUUCAGGUGGUCAGUUGUCUUGUGACUUUACUUUUUGUUAGUUGGGGUCAGUUUUUGCCAUGCAGAUGUUUGUUUUUGAACUGUAGAUGAAUUCUUGGCUUCUAGGUCGAUAGUGUUUUUUGUUUUUUUGUAGUUGUAUAUGGGCCGCGUGCCUAUAUUGUGUUUGUCUAUGUUUUUAAUGUGGUGCUAAGGGUCGAAUGCAGCGCCUUACAUGUGCUAGGCAAGCACUCUGCCACUGAGCUACAGCCCCGGCCCAGUUAAUAGGUUCUAAAAUAUUCUCCGUUUCCUUCUGGUGCUUUAAAGUAUUAUUAUUAUUUUUAAUGUUGUUGUUGCUGUUACUAUUUUGUAUGGGGGAUUGAACCCAGGGAUGCUCUACCACUGAGCUCCAUCCCCAACCCUUUUUAUGGUGAGACGGGUUUCCCAGGCUGGCUUUGACCUUGCCAUCCUCCUGCCUCAGCCUCCGAGUCGCUGGGUUAUGGGUGUGCACACCCAGUCCUGGCAAAGCAGGGCUUUUACUGGAUCAUUGGGAAAUUCACUGAACUUGACUGCUCUAUUCCCCCUGAAGGUCCUUGGGAUCAGACCUUCGCCACCACCCCUGGUCCCACACUGUUUCAGAUGUGGGUAAGGCUGACCCUCCCAUUUCUGUUUUCUCAGAAUCUCGCUGGCUCGGUCUCCUUGUUUACUUUCCCAUUUGAACUUUAGAAUCAACUUGCCGAGUUCAAAGAAAAAAAAAAGUCCUGUUGGUAUUUUUAUUAGCACAGAGUCAACUUGAGGAAUUAGUUGAAGGAGCAUGGAUUCACUUAGAUACUCCAGUGCUGAGUCCCCUCGCUUGAAACAGAACGCGAGAUGUGUUACAGCAGAAGUGCAGCAGCCCCGAGAGUCUUCACCAGACCCACAGCCCGAGCCCAUCAGAACCAACCCCGUGUGUCCCGGGGGAGAGAGCCACCCCUUGGUUGUGAUGUUUAGAUGUUGAGUCUUGCUUCCUCCUGUCUGGUGUGGGGGGUGGAGACUGGAGAAGGCAGCGCCCGGUAGGUGGACCUGGUCUGACCCCUCCUUCCAUCCUCCAGAAACUGAUUAUGAGCCAGGUCCUUGUUGCACCCCAAGGCUACCCUGAGAGAUGGAGAGAUAAGCCUCACGUGGUGUCCCCUGGGAAGGCAGAGGGCUGUGGAAUAAACACGAACCAGGAGUCCAGGGCCCGGAGUCCAGCCUGGCCACGUGACACACUGGUGGUACAACUUUUGGGACCUUUUCCCUCCUCUUCUAUAGAAAUGAGCAGCUUCACUGGGCACGGUGGUGCACGCCUGUCAACCCCAGCGGCUCAGGAGGCUGAAGCAGGAGGAUUGCAAGUUCAAAGCCAGCCUCAGCAACUUAGCAAGGCUCUAAGCAACUCAGUGAAGACCUGUUUUAAAAUACAAAAAGAGUUGGGGAAGUGGCUCAGUGGUAGAGUGCCCCUGGGUUCGAUCCCUAGUACCAAAAAAGGAAGCAAGACAGGGAGGGAGGAAGGAAGGAGCUUCAGUUAGACACAAUGGCACCCACUUGUAACUCCAGCAACCCAGGAGGCUGAGGCAGGAGGAUCACAAGUUCAAGGCCAGCCUCUGCAAUUUAACAAGACAUUGUUCAAAAUCAAAAGAACUGGGGGAUGUAGCUUAGUGGUAGAGCACCCUGGAUUCCUUCCCUGAUACUGGGGUGGGGGUGGGAAGAAAGGAAGGGGCAGCAGCUUGGUCUGAACCCUCCCUAGGGCCCUCUCCAUCUUCACAUAGCCACCCACCCUUAGCGCUGAGCACACAUCCCUGACUGCUGCUCUUCCUCUCUGUCUGGACCACAGCCCCUGCGCCUCUCUGCAGCCCCGUCCAGUCCUGCUGUUAAUCUCCGUGUAUCUUAAUCUCCUCCGGGGGUUAGCUGGGGGUGGGGUUGGAUUGUUUGCCCUCCUCAGAUACCCUUUCCUUUAAUUACUUUAUAAUCUCUGAGAGGGAUCCAGGGCGGACCUUCUUGGCCUGGGGCCACGUAAUGUGUCUGGUGCUGCCUGGGGAGGGGUGCGUGUCUUCCCCUCAAGAAGCAAUUGGGGGCACGUGUGGGCUACCUUUUUAUGGGUCCUAAGGAGCCUCCCCCCAGGCCUUCUCUGGCAAUCAGCGGGGCAGAUGGAGCGGAAGGCUGAGCCAAGGUAAAUACUGCCUGCGCCAAACACCAGACAAACACCGGCAGGUACAAGAGGUACAGACACAUUAGGGCAGGGUGGGGAGGCUCCUGCCAGGGGAGCCAUCUCUCUGAGAAGACGGUUUGGACAAACUGGGCUGCGAGCCAGGUUAGAGAGGGACACAGUCCAGAGCCUGGAAGCCCCGCAGUCUCGCCUGUCCUGGAUGACAUCUUGGGAUCUCAGGGAGAAGUGACCCAGGGAUGGAAGGACCCGGGAGGGAGGGAGAUGGAGUCAGAGGUGGUGGUGCCUCUUUGAUUUCUUUGGUGCUGAGGAUAGAACCCAGGGGUGCUUCACCUCUGACCACAUCCCCAGCCCUUUUGAAAUUUUAUUUAGAGACAGGGUCUUGCUCAGUUGCUUAGGGCCUUGCAGAAUUGCUGAGGCUGGCUUUGAACUCACGAUCCUCCGGCCUCAGCCUCCUGAGCCACUGCACCCAGACAGUGGUGCUUUUAAGAUGACUCAGCAUUCAAAUGCUGUUCGUAUGGGGUCAGGGAGAAAUCUCAAGGCGUGACUCCGCACUCCCGAGAUCCCCGGCCUUACUAGGGGUGGCCGGCUGUAAGGAGGAGACCCGCUCCCCUUUAUGCAAACCCCUCAGAUCCCAGGGCUCCUUUUCCCAGGACUCUGUGAAGUCUCAGAAGGUGUAGGGCGAGCAGGGGAGGGGAGAGGGAACGAGUCGGUGGAGAGAGGUGGGUGGGCACCCCUGAAGAAGGGAACUGGGGAGGGGUAGAGAGAGGUGACCUGGGCCAGUCCCUUCACUUCUCUGAUCUGUGCCUCCCUGUACAGUGGGGAUGCGCCUCCCUCCCUCUCAGUGCUGCUGUGAGGAGACUCUUGGGUAAGGGCCUGGCCCGCGGGGUGAGUGCUCUAUGAUGAUGGUUCUGACUAUUAUCGCAGUAGAAGCCCCCGAGACCGAUUUCAGCCCUUAGAUGGAGAAUGCAAGGAGAGGUGACCGAGAACACGGGGGGACCUGUCCUAGCCUGUGUGGGACCGCAGUCUGCAUUGCUUUCCAUUUGGACCUGGGCUGCCCACAUUCUCCUAGCAACCUCUGGACAUCCACCUCCUUUCCGAUCAAGGCCCCAAGCGCUGAGAGGGGACCUUUAAUUCUUGCAUGACCCAGUCUGAAACUCUGUGCUUCUGAAACCUGAGAGACUGGAGGCCAUCCUGGGCUGACAGCUGGACCCCGUGUGCCUGCUAAGGAACGGCUGUGAGACGGGAUUAACAGGCGCGAGUUAAGCCUGUGUCCUCGGUGGCCGGCCAGGCAGGCGGCCUGUGCACUGCUUACAUAAAUGGGGCCAGGAAGCUGAACUUGUUUUUUCUGGCAAGAGCAAGGGUGUGCUGCAAGAGAAUUGAGAAAUCGGUUUCUCGUGGGCCUGUUUUUCUCAGGUUAUUGACAUUUGCCAGUUUACAUGGAGAGGGGAAAAGAAAAUUAGAGCAACAACAAAGCCAUUUGGGUUUCUAGCACCCAAACUUGGUCCUAAUGGGGGAAGAACCCCACUUCCCAAGAGCUGUGCUGCAAGGUCCCUGCUCCAGGGGUGUCCCGCGUGGGCAGGGAUUUGUGGGAUUGCUGGCUGGGAUCUAAUAGGAUCUACGCUCUCCUUCCCUUGAGGAAUGGGAGGCAGGGGAGGUGGUGGGAAUUUCUCUGCCCUGGAGCUCUCCAGAGAGAGAAAUGUGUUUGUCUCAGGGCCCUGGGAUGACCUGGCCCCAUCCCUCUCCCCGGGUCCUCACCAAUUACAAUAGUAUGUUCAUAGAUUGAGUCUGUGUUGCAAGGUGGCAUUGUCCCGGGUAAGCAGGCGUGCUUCCUGCCCUGGGAGCUAAUGAUGUGAGACCGUGGGAUGCUGAGACGGCAGGAGUAGGGGCUGGUGGGGACCUCCAACCUCAGUCUGAACCUGCAUUUUUCAGAAAAGGUGAAAAGUGGGCUCUGCCAGGGGCAGUGACGUGCCCACAGCUGCCUGCCAGUCCUGGGCAAGACCAGGAAUAGAAUUCGGUCUCCUGAUGGUGCAGGAGUGCAUCAGGCUGCCUCGUGCUCUGAGAUGUGCAGUAUAGGAGAAGAGCAGAGCCGGGGAGGCCUCCAGUUGGUCAGGGACUAAAUGCAAAGUGCACUUGAAGAUUGAAAAGGCACUUGGGGCCAGGUGUGCUGGUGCACUCCUGUCAUCCCUGCAGCUUGGGAGGCUGAGGCAGGAGGAUCCUGAGUUCAGAGCCAGCCUCAGCAACUUAGGGAGGCCCUAAGCAACUUAGCAAGACCCUGUCUCCAAAUAAGAUAUAAAGAAGGGCUGGGGGUGUGGCUCAGGGGGUGUGGCUCUCUCCUUUUCUGAUCUGACCCUCAGGAAGGGACUUUGUUUUCUCUGCUGGAACCUGGGAUAAUGCUCCCUUCCUGCUUCUGACUGGUCUUGGCAGGAAAAGAAGGACUCGAAAUCCUUGGUGGCCCCCUCCUCUCUCCUGGCUCCCGGGUGCUUUCUGAUGCCUAGGAGCUGGGGUGGGGGACAGCUGAUUCAUUCUUAAGGUGAUUGGGAGAGACUCAGAAGCAAGGAACAGCGCCAUCUCCCAUCGUGGAGGCUGGGACAGGAGGUGGGAGGGCGAUGGGGCCUCCUUCCGCCUCCAGAGCCAGGACUAAUCCCCUUGGAGGAUGCUCACACCCUCCCUGCUGUCUCGUGGGUCAAACCUCCUUCCUUACUGUGCUUUAGAUACUUCAGACCCCAAUCCUUCCCAAAUUCUUCACUUUUUUUUUUUUUGAUACCAGGGCACUUAACUACUGAGCCACAUCCCCAGCCCUUUUUGUAUUUUAUUUAGAGACAGGGUCUCACUGAGUUGCCUGGGGCCUCGCUAAAUUGCUGAGGCUGGCUUUGAACUUGCCAUCUCCUGCCUCAGCCUCCUGAGCCGCUGGGAUUACAGGUGUGCCGCCCUGUGGCUCCAGGACUCUUCAUUUUCUGAUACCUUUGCGUGUUCUGUUCACUCCUUGAAAUGCCAUUCCCAGCAGCCACACUCUCCAGGCUCCCAUCAUUUCCCAAGGUCAUGUCUCGUUUCCCCUUUUAGAAUGAUGUGUCCUCCUUCUUACCUCCCUCAAUACCUCAGGAUCAUUUAUUUCAGAAUAGCCUGAAUCAUAGGUGAUUUUAAGUCCUCCACAGGGGUCUGUGGAUGUUAAACAAAAUAAAAUAUGGAAAGGUGGCGCAGAGCCAGCACAGAGUACGCUUUCAGUGACAACAUGUGGAUUUUCUUCAUGAUCUGACUUAAACUAUACUUCCAAGAUCCUUCACAGUCGGAUAAGUGCUGAUGGAAGGAUUGAAACUGAGUUAAAAGCUCUAGAAGCCACUGUAAUGAAUAAUGAGAAUGAGCCCCUGCUCUUGAUGCAGGUGAGGAACAGAAAUUCUUGAUUUCUUAAGCUGGGGACAGGCACAGGCUUGCCAUCGGUCCUGAAAGCCUGGGCAUUUGCUCAAGGGCGGAUGCUGAGCUGUGCGCAGGAUCCCAGCUUGUGCCGCACCUGCCUGCCCUGCGCCAGGGCCACCGCCAGGUUGGGUGGGAGCACCCGGCUGCUGGGGCACGUCCUGCAGGGAAGCAGGCUCCUGGGAGCACGUGGCCACUACGGGUCUCUUCCUUUGACCGGCUGCUCUGGUGGGGCCUACCAGGGAGGGUCCUGGUGGGGACCAGGGAGCAGAGAUAAAGACAGACGGGAGGAGUCAGGAUGAGCCCAUCAGGGGGUCAGGCCUGCGGGGGAGGGACGUGCACAGGACAGUCACAUCCAGGAAGGGUGGGGGCUCUGCGAUCUGAAAGUGUCCCAGAAGCUGUUUGUCUUGAAAAUCUACCUUUUCCCCAGAGGCCCUGCACUCUGCGACCUCCUCUGGUGUGUAACAACCCAGGCCCAAGUCUUUGCUUUUAGAACACACACACACACACACACACAUACACACCUGUAGACCCCAUGUGUCGUGUGCAUAUCUGUGGACACGCUUUUUUUCCCAUUGUAAGAGUCAUAUACGCUGGGCAUGGUGCGGCGCCACACGUCUGCAGUCUAGCCACUCAGGAGGCUGAGGCAGGGGGAUCCCAUGUUCGAGGCGGCCUCAUCAACUUUGCAAGACUCUGUCUCAAAAUAAGAUGUCUUUAAAAUUAAAUAAAAAAAUAAAAGGGAUUGAACAUGUAAAGGGCCCCUGGGUUCAACCCCUAGUACCCCCCCCCAAAUAAAAAGAAAAGAAAAAAGAAAAAGAAAACAAAGAAAGAAAAAAGAAAAAGAAGAAAAUAUUAAUGUAAGCAUCUUGUAGAAAAAUUUAAAACUACAGAAAAGCCAGGUGUGGUGGCAUGUGCCUGUAAUGUCAUCUACUCAGGAGGCUGCGGCCGGGGAAUUGAAGACCCACCUGGGCAGCCUAGUGAGACCCACAACUCAGAAAAAUAGAUUAAUAAACAAAUAAAUAAUGAAACAGCAGAAAUCUAAAAGGAAGAGAAGGAAAUUACCCCUAGUAAAAGCAGAAAAAUUUAAAAAUUGAAAUCAGAAUUCCCCAAACAAAUAAACCAAAGCAAUCAUCCCUGUUCCCACAUUUGGAGAGGAGGGCACAGGUCCGAGGGCCACCUUCCAUGCCCAUCACUUCCCGCCCUCACAUCUGCUCCUGGGGCUGGCUGUUGCUUGACAGCAGGACCCAGUGUCCCCGGGGCGUUGGGUCAGGAGGCAGGGGGCGGGGCGCGGGGCGGGAAGGCUGCGCUGCCCUCUGACUUGAGCUGGAGGGCUUCCCUAUGGUCUCUCGUCUGAGAGUCUGUCUUAGAGUCAUCCUGUCUGCAGUGCUCUUAAGAGCAGAGUUAACGCAGCCUUGUUUACAGGUUCCAGAGGAAAAUGUUUUGAAGCAGAAUCGUGAUAGCAAUACUUGCCAAUGGGUGGUUUAUAAUUAAUCAUUCCCUAUUAAAAAAAAAAAAGUGACUCAGUUUUAAAGAUUCAGAAAACCAUUACUCAAGUUCCUUGGCAGAGGAAAUGGCCAUUAUGUCGCUCCCUGCAGCUCUGCUUUUGUGGAAGAGAAAAAAAAAAGUCUUUUUAUUUGGUGUUUCUCUGAGCUGCUCAAAUGCUUUGGCCCUUGUUAGCAAGCUGAGGACAGAACAGCUCCUGCCAUUGUUGAGAAGUCCCACUCAACAGGCAAGAGCUGCCAUCUGAGCUGGGCUUGGGAAGUGACCAGGGACGUCUUUCCUGGAACCGGCAAAGGCACACGCAGAAAGGGUCUCCUUUGGCCUCUAGGUUCGUUUUCCUGCCUCCACGUCUGCUGCUUGUGAGAAGCUCACUUCUCUGGUCUCCCGCGGGGGGCCGUCCACUGCACAGCCCAAGAGGCGCCACCCGGCCACUCGGGAACCGUGCCUCUGGGACUUGCUAGCGUGAAGACCCUGUCCCUGUGGGCACCUCUUAGGUACCCUGUGUGAAACAAACACUUAUUAAGCACCCACUGAGUUCUCUGAUGUGCAGCCAGGUGGAAUUUACAGGCUUGUGGUCACGGGGGUGGGGGGGGUGGGGACCUGUGUAUACAGUCCCACAUCACUUAAUGAUGGGGACACAUUCCGAGAAAUGUGUCUUCAGGUGAUCUUGUCGUGUGAACUUUCUAGAGUUACACAGACCUGCGGGGUGUAAGUCAAGCAUUUGAUGUGGCCUCUUGAUACCAUCGAGGGGUACAGUAAACAGACUGAGAGGCUGCGUGGGGGUCACACUGUUGCUCUGCAGUAGGUUCUGUUUAACAAGCAGGAGUACACUCUACAAUAACUAGAAAAAUGUAUCGUUUAGUAAAUACGUAGACCAGAGACACAGUUGUUUGUUUGCUUAUUUAUUUAUUUAUGUUUUGUGAUACUGGAGAUUAAGCCCAGGGUUUUUUUAGAUGUUGAUGGACCUUGAUUUUAUUCAUUUAUUUAUAUGCAGUGCUGAGGAUCGAACCCAGUGUCUCACACAUGCUAGGCAAGCGCAUGACCACUGAGCCACAACCCCAGCCCCCCAGGGGUGUUUUACUCUUGAGUUACAUUCUCAGCCCCUAGUUUUGUUGUUGUUGUUUGUUUGUUUUUUAAAUCAGGGUCUCACUGGGUUGCUGGCCUCCAGUGGCUAUCCACUGGCCUCCAAUUGCUAUCCUCCUGCCUCAGCCUCCUGAAGCUGGGAUUAGAGGCGGGCAUCACCACACCUAACAUUAAUUAUCAUUAUUAAGUAUCAUUUACUGUACAUAAUUGUAUGUCACACACACACACACACACACACACACACAGGCUAAACUGGCUACUUGAGGGUGAUGAAGCAGGAUGAGCCGCUGGUCCUGAGGCCCAGAGUCCAUGCUUCAUGAGCUUGAAUAUGGUGUUCAGUCACCGGGUACUGGUCAGUCAUCUCUGGCUUGAUCUCCCUCGGGCUGACUGUCUGUAAACAUGCUGCCCACCGGUUCUGGCAGGACGGUGGUGGCCGGGAGGUGCACCUUCCCCACCUGGGGCCUCUCGUGGGAGGCGGCGCGUAUGUGCACCAGCAGCGGGUGGCUCCUUGCUGACCCCUGCCUCGCCCGCCCGAGGCGCACAGGGCGCCAGCUGCCGGUGGGACGCAUCCUCCGGCCACAGGUGAAGGUGGGACAGGUUCCUUCUGUGGCCCCCUCCCGCUGCCUCGCAGCUUCCUGAACGGGCUGGACCCACCUUUACCCCCGGUGCCGGGGUGGAGGCCGGGCCUGGGGGUGCCAGGGAGGCUGCCAUCCUGAGCUCCCAGCCCCUGGGCAAGGUGGGAUAGGAUGGACCCCGUUAGGGCCUCACACCAACGUCACCCGGGCACCACCAGAAACACCUGUGCCCGCUGUGACGUCUCGGGGUACCGUCCAAGGGUCUGACCCGCACAUUGGCCCACGCCUGGAAUCCCAGCGGCUCGGGAGGCUGAGGCAGGAGGAUCAAGAGUUCAAAGCCAGCCUCAGCAACUCAGCGAGACCCUGUCUCUAAAUAAAAUAUAAAAAGGGUGAGGAUGUGGCUCAGUGGUUAAGCACCCCUGGGUUCAAUCCCUGGUACCAAAAAAAAAAAAAAGUCCUGUGGGCCCAUCACUGUAUUCCCCAGUGUGAGGUUGGCUGAAGAUCCUUCGGUGAUUCAGAGCAGCGCCCUGAGAAAAGUGUCCGUGAAAGGAUGAGCUAUCCAUGGUUCUUUCUUUUUUUUUGGUCCUGGGGAUGGAACCCAGGAGUGCUGAACCAUGGAGCCACAUCCCCAGCUUUUUAAAAAAUAUUGUGUUUAGAGGCAGGGUCUCGCUAAGUUCCUGAGGCUGGCUUUGAACUCGAGAUCCUCCUGCCUCAGCCUCCUGAGCUGCUGGGAUUACAGAUGUGCACCAGUCAGGCUGUGCGUGACUCCUUCCUUGGACUUUUAGGCAAACUGUAUACAAACGGUGCUCAUUGUGUGUUGGCGCUCCUAGGCUGUCUGUGACUGUGGAUAUCCACUUUCCAGCUGAUGGAGGGUUGUUGCUAGCCUUGCAGUGGGGCCACCCCCAGCAAACCAUCCUUUUUGAUAGCGUCUCCGUCCAUCAUGAACACAUCGAGUUUGAGGUGCUUCUUCAACUGCAUAAUCUGUGCAGGAACUUGAUGUCCAUGAUAGGUUUCAUCCUUACGGCUGCUUUAUCUGAUGGAAAACAGGGAAGUGAAAAGAUGGGUAGUGAUAGGGAGGGUCAGUGGGUCUUCUAAACCUCAUUCAGUCACAGAUAGAAAUCUGUACGUGACCGGACGUGGCAAGCUGUCACCUUCCUCAGGCUCCCAUUGGAUCCUCUAAGGGCAAGGUACCCAGUCAUGUCCUCUUCGCUGAUGCCUGGCUUCCGGGGGCUCCUGGAUGUUGGUUGCAUGUAGGACGGAGAGAGGGGGCCUCCCUUGCCCACUGUGGAGCAAGAGGAGUCCAGAGGGGGUCACAGGAACCCGCCCAAACUUGCUCGGCUACACCGUGACGUGCACUUAGCUCUCUCUUCCAGCAGCCAGGGCUCUUGUGGUAGGGAGAUAAAACCUUGGGUGAGUGGCCGCCACCUGUCCUGGCUGUCCAUCUGUCCUUUCCCUGCCAGCCGAGGAGAAGAGGGUGCCAGGGCGGAGGAAUUUGGCUCCAAGUGGUGAAUUGAGAGGAAAGUUGAAAGGCGUUUGUGCAGCUAGGCAGGGCCCGACGCCAGGCAGAAGCUGUCUCUGCCUCUGGAUGCCUGUGUCCCUAGUCCCUGGACUAUGGCCUGCGUCUUAUAGGGACAGCCAGACUCCUUGGCCUGGGGCUAGAAGCCCCCUGGGAGUCACGGGUCCUUAUGCCCUCUUUCCUGGGGGCCAUCUCUGGUGGGCUGGGAGGAAGGACAGGCUCCACGCAGGAGAUGACGAACUCUUCCCCAGCAAAAAGGUUUCACAGAUCAAAGAGACACUUGUGCUUGUCCCCAGACCCAGGAGCAUGGGCAGGGAGGUGACAUCAGGUGUUUGGCCUUUCUGACAUCCCUGGUCAGAUUUAUUGCCGCUGUUUGCUAACACGUAGUUCUACCCUUGGUUUAAGGAUCAGGUGGGCUUAAUAGGAGAACCGGCUGUGUCCCCGCCCCAUUUCCUCAGCUGGCCGGACUGAUUUAACUGAUUGGUUAAUAACUGAGUGCAAGGUGGCUGGGAUAAUUUUUAUCUUAGAUUCUGUGAAUCUAUAACCUGUCCUAAAGCUGGACUAGAAAAAAAGUAUUUGUUCCGCUAACCUUUAAUCCCCUUUCUCUUGAGUAGUCGCACACAGAAUAUUUUUCAAGGGGUGGGUGAUGUACUUUGUCUUUUUGACUUUCCAAUAACUUUUUCUUGGAUCCCUAGAAUAAAAACAGCAUCACCACAAAUGUUUAGUAGAGAGGUGUCGGGGACCAGAGGAAGUGUGGGACACACCGUCAGACCCCUGGUUCACAUCCUGGGUGUGCCUCUAUCUUAUGGGUGAUCUCGGGCGAGUCUCCUGAUUCUCCUGGGCCUCAGUUACCAUUUAUAAAGUAGACCCUGAAGACCCUGUGAUUUUGAGACUUCCUUCAGACCUGUGUGUGCCGGGAGCCCUGCUGGUGCCGUUCAUCCCUAGGUGUAUUCAUCCAUUCACUCAAGGGCUCUGUGUGUGCAGGCAGUGUUCCCAGAGCUGGACCAUAACAGAGCGCCCACCAGGCUCGGUGGCCCGCGCCUAUAAUCCCUGAGGCUGAGGAAGGUAGAUUGCAAGUUCGAGGCCAGCCUUAGUAACUUAGCAAGACUCUGUCUGAAAAUAAAAAGUAAAAAGGGCUGGGGGUGUAGCUACGUGGUAGAGCGUGCCUCCCGGGGUCAGGACCUUCACAAACAAACAACACAACACAACAGGGGCCUCAUCUUGUGGUGCUUGGAGUCUUGGGGGAGACAGACUGGGAAUGGGUAGUUGCACGGCAGUUGGGAUAGGUGACGCGGUGGAGAGGCCUAAUCUAGAGAGAGGGACAGGGAGGGCUUUGGGGUAAGGGGUACUUAAUGCUGAGAUCAGAAAUAGGGGACUUUGUCAUGGGGAUGGGGCAGGGGAGGAGCCAGUGUGAGAAGAGCACUGUCUUGGGGACAGUGUAGCCCUUGAAGGGUCUCCUUUUCUCUUUCUUUCUCCUCCUUCUCCAUCUUUUUUUUUUGGUAUGAGGGAGUGGACCCAAGGGAGCUUAACCACUGAGCCACAUCCCCAGCCCUUUUAAUAUUUUCUUUAGAGACAGGGUCUCGCUGAGUUGCUCAGGGCCUCGUUAGGUUGCUGAGGCUGGCUUUGAACUCGUGAUCCUCCUGCCUCAGCCUCCUGAGCCCCUGGGAUGACAGGAGUGGGCCACCGCCCCUGGCCCCUUGAAGGGCUGUGCUGUGUGGUGUUGUGUUGUGUUUGUUUGUUUGUGUGUUUGUUUUACCAGGGGAGUGGGAUGGCUAGAUUGUGGCUUGAGAAGGCUCACUCUGGCAGCGGGGGGGUGGCCAGUGUCCUUAUCCGGGCAGAGGUGUCCUGGACGGUGACAAAUUCCAGAGUUGGUCAGUACUGAAGCCUCUGUGGCUUCCCUAGGCCACGAAGCAGUCCCGUUUCAGGGUGCUGUGGCUCACUGAGUGUUCUCCCUCCCCCAGAGACGGCCGGUGACGUGCUGAGGAGCCUGCCAGGGGCCAGCGUCACCCUGACCUGCCCCGGGGAGGACCUGGGGGCCAACGCCACCGUCCAGUGGGUGCUCACUGGCUCACAGCACAGGAGCUGGGCCAGUGUAGGAAGGAGGCUGCUUCUGAGGUCGGUGCGCUUCCACGACUCUGGGAACUACUCGUGCUCCCUGGACGGCCACCCGGCUGGGACUGUGCAGUUGCUGGUGGACGGUGAGUGUCCUCGGGGCUCUUGAUAGCCCGGCUCUGCGCCUUCUAGGAAGACUCCUUGCUUGGUCCUUUAAACUCCUGUUAUUUCCUUGGCCCAAGAAUUUUGGGGAAGUGCCGCGGUCUGGCUGGGCACAAAAUCACGAGCCACUCAAGCAGGAACAAACUUUAUUUUUGAAACUGCGGCCAAUGCCCCGUAUGCUCCCGGGAAGAUUGCCCACGGACCCACGUGGCGUUCUCCCAGACCCCCACAGGAAGUCCCUCCUCCGGAAUUCCCUCCUACCGCACUUCCCCAACCAAUGGGAACUCUCCAGGAGUCCCGUAGCAGGCCGAGGUGGACAGCAGGGGUCCAAUAUCCAUAUGAACGCAGAUCUUAACGUAAUCAUAUCAUCUCAAUGGCUUGCUGGUGUCACCUUUCAACCAAAAAUGCCAUGCAUCAUACUACUUGGCUGUGGCUCUUAGCAGGGAAGGGCUCCCUGAUGUCUCUCGGUGCCACUGGAGGAAGUUCCCGCUGAGGGGGCAUCUGGCUGGUGGAGAGCACUGUCUGUCUGUCCUGCCAGUGGACUCUUGCCAGCGUGGGGCCCAGAGCCAGACAGCCUGGAUUCGAGUCUUCCUCCUUCACGUACAGCUUGACUUCGGCUCCUCAGAUUUCUCUGGCAAAAUCAAGUAAAUUUUCUGACCUUAGAGUGUUUCAAAGGUGAAAUGGAGUGUUGGGUUGUGGCCGACACCUGUAAGGUAACUCGGGAGGACAGCAAGUUGGAGGCCAGCCUGGGCAACUAUGGAAACCCCGUCUCCAAAUAGAUCACAAAAAGAGUAGGGGAUGUAUCUCGGGGCAGAGUGCCGGGUUCAAUCCCAGCACCAAAAGAAAAAAGAAAGAAAAAGAUGAAGCAAGAACACUCCCGCAGACGCUGACUGCUCUCACAAAGCAGCUCUCCUGACUUUCAGAAUUAGCUCCUUCCGCUGGGCGCGGUGGUGCUGCCUGUAACCCAAGCUGCUCGGGAGGCUGAGGCAGGAGGAUCACGAGGUCAAAGUCAGCCUCAGCAACUUAGUGAUACCUUAAAGCAACUUAGCCAGACCCUGUCUCUAAAUAAAUUAAAAGGCUGGGGGUGUGGCUCCGUGGGUAAGCGCCUUUGGGUUCAAUCCCCAGCACCAAGAAAGCAAAACCCAAAGCCUCCUUUUCACAUCCAGAUGAAGACUUCACCCAGCCAGUGCCCUGUGCUAGGGCCCUGUGCUAGGGCCUUCCUUGUUUCUCAAGUAGUCCUCCCACCAACCCUGGGAAGGAGGGCGGCAUUUAUCACCAUUAUUAUUAUCAUCAGGUCAUCUUACAGGUAAGGAAACUGAAGAGAGGCUGGGACUUACCCACAACCAGGUCUUCGUGAUUCCAAAAUCCCUAUUUUUUUUUUUUUAAUUUGGACAGAAGGUUCAAAGGUGGCGUCUCCCUUCCCUUGCCUAGGAUCCUUUAUCCAGUUUGACAAACAGGACUUUCAUAUUUUAAUUUUAUAGCCUCAGCUAGGCAGGGUGGUGCACACCUGGAAUCCCAGUGGUUUGGGAGGCUGAGGCAGGAGGAUUGCAGCGUUGAGGCCUGCCUCAGAAACUCAGAGAGACUCUGUCUCAAAAUAAAAAGAGCUGGAGAUGUAGCUCACUGAUAAAGCACCCCUCAAUUCAAUCCCUAGUACUGCCCCAGCCCCCCCCCCCAAAAAAAAAUACUUGUCAUCCAUUGGAAUAUCUGUGUGAGUCUGAGUUUUAGCUGCAGAGUGGCCAAUCCCCUCAGCAGGGAGGCUGUGCACACCUGUGAGGUCAGGCGUCUCAGGGGAAGCCCUGCGGCUCCUCAACCUGCUGUUCUCUCCUUCCAGUUCCUCCCGAGGAGCCCCGGCUUUCCUGCUCACGAAGGAGCCUCCUCAGCAGCGUGGUCUGCGAGUGGAGUCCUCGGAACCCCCCGUCCCCCACCACCAGGGCUGUGCUGCUGGUGAAGAAGCUGUAAGUAGCCUGGGCUGGGCUGGGUGUGUGCUCCUUCUCACCCGGGUCCCCAAGCCGAGGUGAGCUCGCACAGGAAGGCAGAACUGGCCGAUUCUAAUAAAUAAAUUAAAAACAAACAAACAAACAAACAAACAAAACUUUUACUUUGAGACAGGCUCUUGCUAAAUUGCUGAGGCUGGCCUUGAACUUGUGAUCCUCUUUCCUCAGCCUCCUGAGUCUCUGGGAUUACAAACCUGCACCACUGUGCCCAGCUGAGGGAUUGCAAAAUUUUAUCAGUAAAACGUAAUUCCCGGAGCCAGGGGCGGUGGCACAUGUCUGUAAUCCCAGUGGCUCGGGAGGCUGAGGCAGGAGGAUCAAGAGUUCACAGCCAGCCUCAGCAAUGACAAGGCACUAAGCACCUCAGUGAGACCCUGUCUCUAAAUAAAAUACAAAAUAGGGCUGGGGAUGUGGCUCAGUGGUCGGGUGCCCCUGAGUUCAAACCCCAAGUAUCUCCCCUACCAAAAAAGUAAUUCCUGGGACUAGGGGCGGGGCCUGUGGCAGGAGUGCGCAUGUGUGAGGCUCUGGGUUCAAUCCCCAGCACCAAAAUAAAAACCCCAAACCAACCAACCAAACAACAACAAAACAGAAGAAGAAACUGAGGUUCAGAGAGGUCUUUUAGCUAGAAAGUGGCUCUGCUGGGAACCCAAUUCCCGGUGCCUGAUUUCAGCUCCAGGUGCCUGAUUUCCAUUCCGGGCGCCUGAUUUGGGGUGUUGCUCUGAAGAAGAUGCGAAUGGGAGAGGGAAAGCCAGCCAGUUCUUACCCGUGUCUGGCCCUUUCUAUAUGAGUGUGUCAGGCUCUUUCUAUAUGGAGACAGGUGACAGGAAGUGGUCAUGGAUGGAGAAUCAGAACUGGGACUAGUGGGGCAGAAGUCAUGCCUGCCACUUCAAGGUGGCAUAAAGCGUGGGCGUGGGACCCGUGGGAUGGGCCCAGCCAGAGAAGCGGAGGACUGGAAGGCGCCGAGCACAGAUCCCCACUCCAGUGUUGCCUGGUCUGUCCUCAGACCCAGGGCUCCUCCGUCUAGACGUUUGGCGUCAGGUCUGAGCUGCCGGCCGUGGGAGCACAGCAGUCCCACUUCUCCUUCCCAAGGUUUCAACUACCCUUGGUCAGCUGUGGCCUGAAAAUACCAGGUAGAAAAUUCUAGAAAUCAGCCGUGCAUAGGUUUUAAAUCAAGCCACUCGGAGUAGCCUGAUGGAAGCAUGUGCCAUCCUGCCCGGGCGUGGAUCCUGCGUUUCAGCCCAGCAGUCGGCCUGCAUCACAACCUCGCCCUGAUCCCUGGGCCGCCUCCCUGAUGGGUGUCUGUGUUCGGCUAACCCUUGUCUUACUCAGCAGGAGCCCUAGGACAGGAAGGGACAGAGGACUCUGUGGCAGUGCUGGGGGCAUGCGGGCGGAGCUUGGCAGGUACAGGGUUUGGCACCGUCUGGGGCUUUGGGCACUUGCUUGGGUUCUUGGAACACACUCCCUGCCGACAGAGGACUCCUCUGCCAAAAAAUCAGAACAGUGACCUCCACACGGUGGCUUGGCUGCUACUUGUCUCCAGAGAGUUGCUGGAAGGCCUGACGGUGUAUCUGUGUUCCCGACUCCACGUGUAGAUCACCCCCUGCAAGAGAUACAGCUGUUCUGGGACAUUAGUUUCUCCACAGACAGCACAUUCUGCCCACUGCCUGGCGGCUCCAGACCAGUGUCAGAGAACUGGGUUUUGGUAGCAGAGAUUGAACCCAGGGGCGCUUAACCACUGAGCCUCACCCCCAGCCCUUUUUAUGUUUUAUUUUGAGACAGGGCCUCACUAAGUUCCUCCGGGCCUCACUUUUGCUGAGUGAGGCUUUGAACUCCCCAUCCUCCUGCCUCAGCCUCCUGAGUCUGGGCUUACAGGCGCGUGCCCCGGCACUGACUGAUUCACACGGGACACUUCAUCUCGAAUACUCUGUUGACAAUAAGGUGGGAGAGGACCAGGUGUCUAGCUCCACGUCCUCCUCCUCCAGUGGUCUCGGGCGUCUUGGACGUCUGCUGAGAAGCUCUGGGAGAGGGCAGUGGGGAUGGAGGCUGCCAGAGCCCCAGGGACCGGGGCCCACGGAGGCCCCACGGGGGCCGGAGACUCUGGGGCCCAGGACAGCGUUCUGGUGUGUUUGGCUUUCUGUUUUGGGUGUGACACUUUCACAUCCUCCCCGGCACCCGCCCAGCCUGUCACCCAGCAGCGCCUGAGAGUGGGGCUCCUGCCUGGGCUGGGGGAGGCAGGAUGGGCGUCCGCGGGGCACCAGACGGGCCCUGCCUCCUGGGGUGGGCGGGACCGAAGCCUGAGAGGUGCAGGGGACACAGAGCAAGGGUGGCCGUCACUCCCGGGGGCCAGGCUCCCAGAAGCAGUUUGUCCCCCCUGCUAGACUCUUCCCGAGCCCAGGAGCCCACGUUAGAGGCCGGUGAUUUGUCCCCCGCAGCAGGGCAAGCGGCCGCCACGGCCUAACAUGCCCGCCCGGGGGCACAGGGUUCCUACAAAAUGCUUCUGCGACACCCAGCAUCUCCCCGGGUGCUUCGUCCUCGUCCUCGAGGGCAGAUCAUUUUUGUCAUUGCCCUGACACCAGGUCAGAGGCUCGGCCUCUCUGCCUCUGCGAGUCUGUGUCCCCCGUGGGGCCAGGAGCACGGAUCCUGCCCCAGCGCCAGCGCUCGGGGCCCCUGAUGCCUCAGUGACAGCUGAGUCCCUCCUCCAGCACCUCCCGCCGUGCCAGGGGCCGAGCCAGGUGUCCUAGCCACGUUGGUCCAUUGUCCCUGUGAGGUGGGGCUGUGAAUAGUCCCAUUUUCAAAUGACAGCGCAGAACCUCGAGCCUGGUUGCAGGACUCACUCGGAGUCACGAACGCUGACGAGAGCAGAUGACCCGGAGCUGGGAUCCAAGCCCUGGGAUCCGACUCAGAGCCUGAGUGUCCGACCCGGCCCGGUCCUUCUUCCCCUCUAGAGGAAGCACAGAAACGGUAGCAGCCCCCCCCCUUUGUUUUGUGACCAACAGCAAGAAAGUCCCAGCGGAAGACUUCCGGGUGCCGUGCCAGUAUUCUCAGGACUCGCAGAAGUUCUCCUGCCAGCUGGAGAUUCCAGAGGGGGACAAGUCCUUCCACAUAGUGUCCUUGUGCGCGGCCAGCAGUGCCGGGAGCAGGUCCAGCGACCCGGAGGCAUUUGAGGGAUAUGGAAUCCGUAAGUGAGCUCUCCUCUCCCCAGCCCCACAAGUAUUUUUUUUUUCUCUUUUGACAUAAUAUUUCUUUUUCUUUUUGGUGCUUUUUGAACCUAGGGAUGCUUAAUCACUGAGCCACAACCCCAGACCUUUUUUACAAUUUUGAGACAGGGUCCGGCCAAGUUGCUUCAGGCCUCACUAAAUGGCUAAGGCUGGCCUCCAAAUUUUGAUCCUCCUGCUUCAGCCUCCCACGUCACUGGGAUUACAGGCUUGCACCGCUCUGCCUGGCCCUUGACUUAAUAUUUCUCAUCCACUCCUUGGAGGGGCAGGGAAGGAGCGGUUGAGGGGUUUGGCUAGCUGGAGCCCUUUUGGGCACUGACGGAUGAGGGUGCUUUCAAGACGCGUGUGUGGGGCUGAGCGUGUGGCUUAGUGGCAGAGCGCUUGCCUAGUGUGUGCGAGGCUCUGGGUUUGAUCCCUAGUAUGGGGGAGGAGGGCAAAUAAAUAAAAAGAUGGGCAUGGGGUGGCCUGGUCUGGGGCAGGGCUCCUGCCGCCCCACAGAAGCCACGUUCCCUCUCACAGUGCGGCCUGACCCGCCCGCCAACAUCAUGGUCACUGCUGUGGCCGAAAACCCCCGCUGGCUCAAUGUCACCUGGGAAGACCCCCUCUCCUGGAACUCCGACUUCUACAGACUGCAGUUCGAACUCCGGUACCGGGCCGAGCACUCAAAGGCCUUCACCACGUGGAUGGUGAGUUCACCCACUGUUCACCCACUGUUUCUAAACAGGAAAGCGCUGCAGACACUUGAGGGUCCUGAAAAGGACGUGAAGGAGAAGGAGUGACCUUCCAGGGCCUGCUUGGCAGCUCCCCGCGCGGCCUGGACGGGUCUCGGCCAUCUCAUUUAGGAAGUGGGAGUCGUGACGCUGGGUGUCCCUUCGCAGCUGGUUGGCAAGAAGGGUACACAGGGUGGCCGGGACUCGGGCUCCGGGCAAUCAGGGAGGGCCGUCAGGAUCCGCAGUCGCUGUGCCUCCCGCCCUUAGGUCAGGAAUUCCCAGUAUCACUGCAUCAUCCACGACGCCUGGCGCGGCUCGAGGCACACGGUGCAGCUUCGGGCCCAGGAGGAGUUUGGACUCGGCUCCUGGAGUGAGUGGAGCCCCGAGGUCACAGGGGUUCCGUGGACAGGUACCUCGCGGGCGUGGAGGGAAGGCGGCGGGGGGGGUUGCUUCUGUUAGUGGAUCAGCAAUGUGGUGCUCUAAGGCAGGUCACCCCAAAGCUGGUGCCCGAGAAACAGCAACCAUUUAUCUGCUGGUCUUGCCAUGAGGUCUGCAAGGGCCAGGGUGGACCCGCCCGUGGCUGGGGGCGGGGCUGGCCGGGCCCUGGUCUUCCCCACCCCUUCCCCCAGGCCACCCAGGCUGGGGACAGGGACUCCCGGAGCGGCGAGAGAGAGGAGCUCAAAGGGUCGUACACAUGUUGACUCCACCGCAGUUACUAAUGCUUUUUAUUUUUAAAAAGGUGAUAAAAGUAAUCAUCAUUGCUUUGGGGUGGAUUAUUGAAAUUGACACGUUAGUGAUAAGAAAUUCUAGAAAAAUACGAAGAGAAUAACUAUUAACAGUAUCUUCCCUUAGCAAAAACCAGUGGGCAUAUUUUAGUUUUUAAAAAUUACAUUUAUGUGAGUGAAUUUACAUAUUAUAUGUAUUAUUAUAUAUAUAAAAUAUUGUGCCAGAUGGUGUGUAAAACCUGUGAUCCCGGUGACUCGGGAGGCUGAGGCAGGAGGAUUGCAAGUUUGAGUGAGCCAUUUAGCAAGGCUCUAAGCAACUCAGCAAGGCCUUGUCUCAAAGUAAAAAAAUAAAAAGGGCUGGGGCCGGGUUCGGUGGCGCCCACCCUAAUCUCAGAGGCUUGGGAGGCUGAGGCAGGAGGAUCAGUGGUCCUGGGGAUGUGGCUCGGUGCUCCUGAGUUUAAUCCCCAGGACCAACCAACCAACCAACCAACCAAGAAAAAACCCAAAAAACAAAGAAAAGGGCUGGGGAUGUAGCUCCCUGGUAGAGUGCUCCUGGGGUCAUCCCCAGUAAUACCCUCCCACCAUUCUACUUUCUGUCUCUGAAUUUGAAGUCUUAUAAACAGAUUUCCUGCCUAGCUUCAAAUGUUUUAUUUUUCCAGUUUUUUUUUCUUUUCCCUCUUUGUUACUGGGGAUUGAACUCAGGGGCGCUUAACCACUGAGCCACAUCCCUAGCCCCUUUUAUAUUUCAUUUAGAGACAGGGUCUCCCUGAGUUGCUUAGGGCCUCGCUAAGUUGCUGAGGCUGGCCUUGAAUUUGCAAUCCUCCUGCCUCAGCCUCCUGAGCUGCUGGGAUUAUAGACGUGGGCCACUGUACCCAGUAUGUUAUCAAAAUUUUUUGAAAAUGUACUAUUUGCUAACUGCAUGAUCAAUUUUUUUUUAAUCCCCACGGGAGGUGUUUUGUUUGUGUUGGGACUGGGGGUUGAACACCGGGGGGUGCUUAACCACUUCCUGAGUUGCUAGGAUUAAAGGCAUGUACUACUGUGCCCAGUUUGGAGGUUUUUAUAAAAAGAAAAAAUCAAAAAUUUGUAUCAAAUUAAUACAGAAGGCUUGAGAAGUUGAGGCAGGAGGUCUGCAAGUUUGAGGCCAGCCUCAGCAACUUAGUGAGGCCCUGUCUCAAAAUAAAAAAUUAAAAAAAAAAAAAGACUGGAGAUGUCACUUAGUGGACAGUGCCUGGUUUCAGUCCCCAGGACCAAAACAACAACAGCAGCAAGACCCCCAGAAUACCCAGCAGAGGCCCGUGCCCACCGUUGCUGGUCCUGCUUUCUGGAGGAAACCGCUCGACUCUGUUUCUAGGUCUUCUGCUGGUGCCCCGGUAACUCUUUCUUUUUUACUUCUUUCCUUUCCCCCUCCUUAACUCUAAAGGACAAGCUCAGAUGAGUGACUUUUCCCCCUGAUAAAACCACUGGAGACUUUAUCUAGCAAACCUAGAAUGCAGGUGUCUCCCUGACCACACCCUGGUCAGCUGGCCUCUCUUUGAAGCUUCCAGAGAUAAAGAGCUCGCCCCCUCCCCCCCCCCCAGCAUUCUUCUUGUGGAACACCUUCCAGGCUCGAUUUGUUUCUAACCCUGCAGCACAGUUGAAUCAAAUUAGUCAUUCAUUCUUUUUCUCUUUGUUGGUACUGGAGACCCAGGGGUGCUUAACCACUGAGCCACAUCCCCAGCCUUUUUUUAAAAUUUUUGAGACAGGGUCUUGCUAAAUGGCUGGGGCUGGACUUGAACUUGGGAUCCUCCUGCCUCAGCCUCCUAACUUGCUGGGAUUACAGGCCUGCACCACGCCCACUCAAUUAGUCAUUCUAAGUUACUUAGCAAUUAAAAGAAUAAGGCCAGACAGGCACCACAGGCACGCUGCUGAUCCCAGCAACUCUGGAGCCUGAGGCAGGAGGAUCAUAAAUCCAAGGCCAUUCUGGGAAAGUUAGGAAGGCCUUCAGCAAUCUAUUGAGACCCUGUCUUAAAAUAAAAAGGGCUGGGGAUGUAUGUAGCUCAGUGGUAGAGCACCCAAGGAGUCAAUUCCCACUACUGUCUUUAAAAAAGAAAGAAAAGAAAAAAGUCCUGAUUUAAUAGCUAUUGAUUGAUGGUGGUAAAGUGUGCCCGACAUGAAGUCUGCUACUGUGACGGUUUCAAGUGUGCAUCUUUGUGGCUUUAAGUUCAGGCGCAGUGUGGUGCCAGCAUCACCGCCGUGCACCUCCAGAACGUUCUUAUCUUGCAAAACCGGAACUCUGUCCCUCCACAGGAUAAUUCCCCGUUCUCCCAUCCCUGCCCCAGCCCCUGGCAGCCCCUGACACUCUGCUCUCUGUCCCUGACUGUGACGACUCCAGAUCAUUCCUUUUGUUUUGAGACAGGGUGCUUCAAACAGGUGGAGCCACACGGGGACGUGUCCUUUGGUGCCCGGCUCAUUUCGCUGCCUGUGACUUGUCUUCAGGGCCCACCCACGUGGCAGCCUGGGUCAGACUCUCCUCUGGAAGGCGGUGGUGGGCUGUUGUGCAGAAUCACGUCUCUGGUGUCCUCGUUCCCCUGUCCUGGGACACUUGGGCUCUUCUGUCUUGGCUUUGUGAAUGACGCUGCCGUGGACAAGGCCGUACAGAGCUGUUGGAGUUCCUGCUUUCGGUUCUUUUGAGUCGACACCCAGAAGUGGAAUUUCUGUGUCACGUGGCAAUUCUAUUUUUAAUUUUUUGAGGAACUUCUGUCUGGGCUGCUCCCUUUCAUAUUCACUGUGGAGUGCACUGACCCACCCCUCCCCUGACACUAGUUAACUUCUUUGCCUUUGGACCCUCCCCUCCCCUCUCCCUUCCUUUCUUUAUCUCUCUUUUUGAGACAGAGUCUCAGAUUCCUGGGCUUAAGCGAUCUUCCUGCCUCAGCCUCUCCAGUAGCUGUGAUUACAGGAGCCCACUUAGUUUUCAUCUUUGGUACCAAGAAUUGAACCCAGGGGCACUUCACCACUGAGCCACGUCCCCAGCCCUAUUUUGUGUUUUAUUUAGAGACAGGGUCUCACUGAGUUGCUUGCUAAAUUGCUGAGGCUGGCCUUGAACUCGCAAUCCUCCUUCCUCAGCCUCCCAAGUCUCUGAGAUCAUAAGUGUGCGCCGUCACUCCCAAUUUAGAAGGUCUUCAUAUGUGGGCCAGCGCUGGCCUUGCUCUGUCCCCUGGGCUCCUCUGAGCCCAGCCUGCUCUCUGAAUUCUUCUGGAGUUCUCAGAAGACUAAGAUCUGCUUGCACUCCUCUUGCCAGGCGGCUGCAUGGGGUGGUUUGGAGUUUCUCACUUGGCUCGCCACCUGCCCCUGAAUCUGGUCUCAUUUGUGGCCGUAUCUCUUUAAAUUGUUGGCAUCCUCUCUUCUGUGGAAGACGCUCUAGCAGGGGCCAUCUGGGCAGCUCUGGGGACUGUCUUGGACUUUCCAGCCUUAGCUCAUGUGCUGGAGUGACCCCACGAGCUCAGAGAAUCUGGUUCCUCCUCCUGAGCAGCUGGAGAGUUGAGCUCCUGUCCUGCGGGUGGAUGGCAUCCUCACCCCCCCACCCCCCCCACCCCCCUCGAUGAAUUUAUGCAGGAGAGAGACCUGCAGCGCCCUCUCCACGGACGGAGGAUGAGACCAAGGGGACGUAGGGUAGGAAUGGGGGCAGGUUGGGGAAAGUGAGAAGGAGGUUGGGAGACCAGGUGAGGCGUGUUCUCCUGCCGUGGCGCGGUGUGACUGUUAGGGACAUGUCAGUGCUCCAGGGACUCUAUCACCCGGCUUCCUGAUACCAAGGACCUUCAACACUGAAAGCCCAGACAAAAAGGAUGCUGGCCCGGAGGAUCUGCAUGGAGGAGGAGAGGCCGGCCUUGGCCUCGCCCUGGGGGAAGCUGUGUAGGAGCCGGAGGUGGAGGAGGGGCGCAGGGCCUGGACUUCACAGGUGCUGGGGGCACCAAGGUGCAGCGUCUGCACCAAGGUGUGUUUGUGGGGACGAGUGGGCCUCGUGUGUGUGUGUGUGUGUGUGCACGCGCGCAUGCUCCUGUGCACGUGUACAUGCCCCCCUCCCCCCAUGGGACAGGUACCGUCACCCUGUCUUAGGGCCCCUGCUUUGGCCAUCAAGGUCAGGACACUGCUGUCAGCCCCUGCAGUAGUGGCUCUUGGAGACGCUCUUGGGGCCCUUGACCCCGGGGAGCAGAGGCCACCUGUGACCCGGCAGCUCCCUCCCAAGUGGGAGUCCGCCCACCUGCACCCUCUCCUCUCCCUGACGUCAGGGACGUCCAGUCUGGGUCCCCAGGACCCUGUUCAACUAGGGAAACUCUGUCAGGCAGAGGAGGGUGGGUCUUCUUUUUUCUGUUUGAAAAUCCCUUUAACUCUGUCCCUCCCAGUCCCCAAGAACGGGGGCCACACCCCAUAGAGAAGGUGGGGUUUUGCCUUUGUCACCCAUGUGGGUGGCCUGAGGCCAGGCCAGGGAGCUGCAGGCCGUUAGGUCCCCUGGCUUGGACCUGCAGCUGUGGGACCUUCUCCCCACCUGGGCCAUCCCAUUCAGGGGACCUCAUUUGUUCCUCUCCUCAGCACCAGGUGGGACAGGCUGCCAAUCAAGAGAGCUUGGUCACACAUUUCUGCAGAGAUCUUGUCCUGUUCACUGAUGCGGCUCCCCACACUCCUCCAUCUGGGCUCUUUCCUUCCAGGUCCCCUCCCUCCCUCCCUCCUUCCCUCCCUCUUCCUCUCUCUCUCUCCCUCUCUCCGUGUGUGUGUGUGUGUGUGUGUGUGUCUCUCUCUCUCUCUCUCUCUCUCUCUCUCUCUCUCUCUCUCUCUCUCGUACUGGGGGUCAAACCCAGGGAGCUGUACGGCAGCCCAGCCCUUUCUGGAAAACUCUAUUUUGAGACGGGGUCUUAUUAAAUCGUCACACUAGCCUCAAACUCGACUCUUCCUCCUCAGCCUCCCCAGUGGCUGUGGCCACAGGCCGGUGUCACUGUGCCUGGUGCUUGGUCCUGUCUCCCGCGUGUCCUUGGACCUGCCCGUCCUGCUGGGCGUGCUGACCCACCACCCUGCCUACCUGGGGCAGAGCACUGGUCUGCAGGGAGACAGACUUGGGUCCAGCUGCUGACCCUGCUCCUAGGACCAGCCUGACCUGGGGGGAGUCCCUAACCAAGCCCCGGGUCGCUCAUCUGUCAAGUGGGGGUGGUGAGGCUUGCCUCAAGACACCCCCCACCCAGUGCCUCCCUUGUGGGGUUGGGAGGCCUCCAUGAUGGGGAAGCAGUGGGCACAGAGCAGGACUCGUGGUCAGCUGGCCCAGACACCUGUGCGGGCCUCUCUCUGCAACAGGUGCUCGGCUCCACCCAAGCCAGAGGCGUCACGGUGGCUCCCAAACCUCUGGGCCUUCCUGUCUGGGGACGGACGCCGCGACCCACCCAGCUCCAGAGCUGGGAGCCAGACCACCUACCUGGGUCAGCUGCUGUCCCACCUCAGCAGAACCUGACCGUUGACCCUCCAAACCCGUCUCCUGCUUUUGUGUUCAAGCACUGUGCGUCCUCCAUGCCGUUUCUAAGUCACAAGACUGUCACCUCCCAGACACCACCCGUGGCUCCUGUGGCUCUCCCCUGAGCCUGGUGUAGAGGCCUCUGGGACAGCCUUGCUGACCACCCAGUUAAUCUCACUGGAAUAAGGCCAUUCGUCCACUCGUUCAUUUCAUUCAUGAAUUCAUUUUGUUUUGAAUAUAAAAUAUAGAAAACUUGGAACUAUGAAUACGGGGCAGACAGAAGCCACCACCUGUCUUUCUGGUCCUGGGGGUUGACCCCAAGGGUGCUCCCGCUGAGCUGCACCCCAGCCCUUCUCGUUUUGAGACGGGGUCUUGCUGGAUGCAGCCGCUGCCCUGACCAGAAAUGACCUUGAUUUAUGAUGCGAUGUCACAGUCACGCUGGGAAGUCUCUCUGGAGCAGAAACAGGGUCACCUUCUCCUCCCGUCCUGGCUGGCCCCCUCUUGUCUACCCCUGGGUCAGGGGGCUGUCUUCCUGGUGUGCACCAUUUCUCUGGUGCUCUGAUCACUCCAUGGAAAAAUGACGGCUGACAAGAAAAUACUUUGAAAUCCAAAGCAUCCCACCCCGGGCUGGCUGAGGUCCAGCGCCUGGUCCCUGGGGCCCGCUGCCGCCGGGCCUGGCCUCCUGUCCGGGUCUGACUUUGAUUACUGAUUUCUCCAGAAACACAGUUCCCAGGGGCGGGUGGCCUUGGGAGGGGGACCUGUCCACCUCCUGCCUCCCGCCAGCCGGGCUCGGCCACGCAGGCCAACAAGACCCACUGAUCAUGUGAUUCUCUUUUAUUGAAAAAAGGUGUGUGGAAGGAAGUUCAAAUGCUAAUAGUGCUUAUGUCUGCUGAUGUGGACCAUUCUUUCUGUGUAUGAAUAUAGGUCAUAUUUAGUGUGAUGUACAGUAGAUGAUAAUAUAAAUGUGUUUCUUUAGAGACUUUCAGAGCUGGGCGAGGUGGUGCACGCCUGUAAUCCCAGCACCUGGGGAGGCUGAGGCAGGAGGAUCUCAAGUUUGAGGCCAGCCUCAGCAACUUAGCAAGAUCUUAUCUCAAAAAAGAGCAGGAUGGGGUGGGGUUGUUCAGUAGUAGAGCACUCCGGUAGCAUGCGGGAGGCACUGGGUUUAAUCCUCCGCACCACAUAAAAAUAAAAUAAAGGCAUGGUGUCCACCUACAACUAAAAAAAAAAAUAUAUAUAUAUUUUUUUAAAGGGCUGGAGGUGUAGCUCAUUGGUAAAGCACCCUGGGCUCAUUUCCUAGUAUCUCUAAGAACAAUAACAACAAAACAAGUUUUGAUCCAACUAUAGGACUUUUUUCUUGUCUUGCAUUUUUUCACACAUUAUGUCAUAUCAUCAACAUUUUUUAUAAAAUAUAUAUUUUGAAGUUUUAUUUAUCAUGUUUCAAUUUUUAGUGCAUUGAACCCAGGGGUGCUUAACCGCUAAGUCACGUCCGCGGCACUUCUUUUUAAUAUUCUAUUUGGAGGUGGGGUCUCCCUGAGUUGCUUAGAGCCUUGCUAAGUUGCUGAGGCUGGCUUUGAACGUGCCAUCCCCCUGCCUCAGCCUCCUUAUCUUUAUUUUUAUGUUCUUGGGGUGCUGGGGAAUCAAACACACAGGGCCUUGCACACACUAGGAAAGUGCUGACCACAUCCUCUUCCCUUAUUUUAUUUUUUGCUGUACUGGGGAGUGAACCCAGGGCUGCUCUACCACUGAACCACAUCCCCACCCCUUUUUAUUUUUUAUUUUGAGACAAGCUCUCACUAAGUUGCGGAGGCUGGCCUCCGACAUCUGAUCCUUCCCAAGUUACUGAGAGUGUAGGAGUUUGGCUUUGUACCCAGCUCCUUAUUUUAUUCAUCAUUGAAAUCGACAGAAGAGUGGGAUCUAUGGAUGGGGAACAGUGUAACAUUUUGACACAUGUAGGCAUUAUGUACAGGUUAUGACAUUGUGUGUCUCUAUCAUAAUCGUACAGCUUGUCCCUUAGGGCUGGAUAUUUGGUGACUUCCCGUGUCAGGCUCCUUUAUUCGUUUCUUUUGCUCUUGGUGGUUGGGAUUGAACCCGGGCCUCUCUGCCUCUGAACUGCGUCCCAGGUCCUGUUAUGCUCUUUUACUUAUUUAUUUAUUGCACCAGGGAUUGAACCCAGGGGCACUCAACCACCGAGCCCCAUCCCCAGCCCUUUUUAUACUUUUUAUUUAGAGACAGGGUCUCACUGAGUUGCUGAGGGCCUCGCUAAGUUGCUGAGGCUGGCUUUGAACUUGAGAUCCUCCGGCCUCAGCCUCCCGAGCUGCUGGGAUGACAGGCGUGGGCCACCACACCCGGCCCCUGUUACGUGUUUUUAAAUAACAUUGUGAUGAUCUUUAUUCUACUUCUGGAGCCAUCGGUCAGCACUCCAGGGCCCACAGUCACUAACGACAGCCCUUCCCUCUGCCCUCUGUCUGCAGAGUCCAGGAGUGUACCAGCUGUGACCUCUGCGUCCCCCUCCGUGGAGGUGAGCUCGGGUUCCUGUGAGAGUCAGGGCAGCAGCACCUGGCGGUUUGCAGAGGGAAUUUGAAGCCCAGCUCUGCCUCUUCCUAGAAGUGCUGCUGUGCCGGUUUCUGCCCUCUCCAAGUCUCUGUGCAGGGACAGCGAUUCCAUGUCCCGGGGCUGGAAGGGCCAGGGCCGCCUCGCCCGGCACAGGAAAUGCCUGAGUCCAGUGGCCACUCGUUUCUCUCUGAGCUUCUUGGGCACCACCAGCUGCUUAGCCUGAGACACAGUUCAGAUCAUCCCGUCCCUCCCUCGGGCUCCUGGUGUCAUAACUGGCUGGAAGAGGCUUUCCCCCAAAGCUGCUUAACCAGGUCUUAGAGUAAUCCAAUUUCCCUCAGCCUCACCGCUGUUCCUCCCGGGGCCUCCAAUCCCCUAAACGCUAAGCCGGGGGCCUCAGCCACUCCUGGAUCUGGGCAGCGCGGGGAAGGAGCCCAGGAGCACCUCUGUGACCCGCUGCAGGGGAAGCCCAUAGCUGGGGGCCGGGCUCCCCCAGUGCAGGUCCCAGGGGAGCGAGGCCGACUGGAGACCUGGCCCCGUCCUGCUUCACUGAGCCGCACCUUCCUUAUGGUGUUGGAUUCUCAUAGUGACCCUAGAAGGGAGCCGAACCGAGACCAGGCGGGUUAAGGAAUCUGCCCAGGGUCACACAGCUGGCCCGUGGCAGCCAGGAUUCCCGGCCAGGCGUUUCCCAGUGGGCAGCGGCCCCUACCCCUGGCACCAGGCUGUAAGGACGGUUGCUGCUUUGGGUGUCUGUGGAGCGUCUCCUCUGCGCAGGGGGCUGUGCCUUCCACUCUGGGGAGGGAGGCAGAGGGAGCAGAAUCCCUGCCUGAAACAGGAGACACCAGGAAUCGUGUCACAGUGAAAGAGUUGGAGGUGACACACCUCCAGGACCGGGGAGGUCACGAGAUAGAGAAAGGGAAGCCCGGGUGGCCCAGGGAGGUCUUUGAGAAGGUGGCGCCCAAACUGGGUCUGGAUGAUGUUGGAAUCCAGAGAAAUGGGCCUGUAACGUGGCAUGUCUCUCCCAGGUGCCUACUACUGAUGAAGGGGAGCAGGAGGAAGGCCGAAGGAAGAUUUCUGAAAAAGCAACCAGCCUCCCAGGUCAGGACUGGGGACGAGUGUGUGUGUGUGUGUGUGUGUGUGCGCGUGCUGGGGAUUACCACUGAGUCACAUCUCCAGCCCUUUUUAUUUUGAGAUGAGGUCUUGGUAACUUGCUGAGGCUGGCCCCAAACUUGCAGUCCUCCUACCUCAGCCUCCCAAGUCACUGGGGUUACAGGCCUGUGCUACUGCUCCCGGCAGGAUUGGCUAUCUUUGUCUUCCUCUGAUCUGGUGGACACGAGACUCUUUGCAUAAAAUCUUUUCAUAUUUGGAUACUUGGCAGAGGAUAAAAUGGCAGAAAUAUUUAAUUACCUGAUUCGUUCAAGUGUGACGUGGUUAGCUAAAACUUAGUGAGGGGACCAUGCGCAGAAGGGAGGAAGCAGUGAACUAUUUCACAGUUGGCCCAGGGUACAAAUGGGUGUGCCACCCACCACGUUCCUGGAGUCAGAAAUGGUAUGCAGACGAGGGGGGGGGUCUUUGUCCUGAGAACCUUGCCUUUCAGCCCCCGCUCCCCACACCUUCAGGUCUGGGAAACAAGAAAGGCCGCGGGUCCUGUGCGUUGGACUAAAUGUGUGGGACUCCGGGGUCCUGGCCCCAGGGUCAGAGGCUGGGCAGUUCCUUGGAUGACUCCCGGGCUGUCCGAGGAGGUCCUGGGUCCGGUGUCCCUGCCUGGCUGGCUCCUUCCAGGUGGACGGCCUAGUGUGCGCAGCGCACCUGGAGGAGCUACUGGACCCGGGGCUGAGCUCUGCGCAGCUGGGACGGCACAGACUUCAGCUCCUCCAUCUUCCCUCUCCCUCUGCUUUCCCCACCUCAGGGCCUUUGCACCUGCUUGUUCCUCUGUCUGGAUGCUCUUCUUCCACCCUCCACUUGACCAGCUCCUUCCUACCACCCAGGUUUCUGCUCAAAGGCUCCCUUCUCAGAGAGCCCGUUCCUGACCCUCAUGUAUGACAGAGGUCCCCUCUCCCACGGAGACUCUCUUCCCUUCCUGGGUUUGCUUUUCUUUUUUCUUUUUGGUAGUGGGGAUUGAACCCAGAGGCACUAACCACAAGGCAACCUCCCCAUCUCCAGCCCCUUUUUCAUAGUUUAUUUAGAGACAGGGUCUCACUGAGUUGCUUAGGGCCUCGCUGAGUUGCUGAGGCUGGCUUUGAACUCACGAUCCUCCUGCCUCGGCCUCGAGAGCCGCUGGGGUUCCAGGCGUGGGCCACUGUGCCAGGCCUGUGGUUCGCUUGUCAUCAUCGCCGUGGCCACCGCUAACGUCACCUUGCACGUGACCUGUUAGUCUGCCUCCCUCGACCACACUGUAGUGUCCAGGGGGAGGGUCUUCUCCGUCAUGCCUUUCUGUGUCCUGGAGACUUAGGGCCAAGCCUGGCCACGGGACCCUCCAGACUUUACUGAAUGAGGGAGGGGGAUGGUGACAGAUGACGAAGUAGUGAUCAUGAGCAGCAGGCGUCUGCUCUUCCUGUCAAGGUGUGGGGUGCGCCCCGAGGGACCUGUCUUUGAGGUCCGUGAACGCUCACCGGUCAGGCUGCUGGGCAGUGCCUGGCCCUGGGUGGCAUCAACACCAACAGUGGGCAGCAUUCGUCGGAGGCCUAGGUCCUGGGUCCACCCGGCUGGGGCUCCUGCCUUCCCAGUGGGACAGUGGUGGCUUUGCUUAGGUGUCCCUCUGGCCGGUCCGGGGUCUCUGGCACUCGUAGGAAGGGUCUUUCUGGGGCAGUUAUUAUGAAGCUGAUUGUCCUUUCCUUCAUUCAGUGACACGUUUUGAGAGCUGCUUUGGAGCAGGCCACGGGAGCCGCUGGGAGCCGGGCUGAGGCACCCGGCCUCCUCUGGCCAGAGAGCCAGCUUGGAGGGACUGGGGUACCCGGGGGGACACUCAGCUUGAGUGGGGGUCCCUUCUCAAAGGAAGUGACCUCAUCUAGUCUGAGACCUACUGGUCAGGUAGGGCCUGGGCCGCACAGGGCUGCAGCCCGGGGGGGGCGAGAAGGGGGCGACCUGUGCCCACUGGGCGGAGCGGGGCCACGUGGCCUCCUGUUCCUCCUGUGUCUCCUCCUUUUUUUGUGGCUCUGGGGCCUGAGCAGGGCCUGUCGUGCGAGGCAGCCUCUCCCCCUGAACUUCGCCCCAGCCCAACCCUUUUUCUUCUUCUCCAGGGCAAGAUUCUCUGCCCGUCCCGCUGCCCACGUUCCUGGUAGCUGGGGGAAGCCUGGCCUUCGGCUCGCUGCUGUGCGUCGGCAUCAUCCUCAGGUGAGACGGGCGGGGGUCUCUGUGACGUCCUGUGUGUCGUAUGUAGCUGCCCUUCACCCCGGAACCACCAAAUGUACAGGGGCUGGGGACGGGGCUUGGUGUAGAGCCCUGGCCUGGGGAGCACGGCGCCCUGGGUUCUAGCCCAGCAGCGUGUGCACACAGACAGACACACGUGCACACGCACACACUCACACACGCGCGCACACGCACAUACACACGCGUGCACACACGUGCACACACACACAGAGCCUGCAGUGAGAAGUGCUUUGGGGUCUUGGAGGCCUCCGGCUGGCGGGCGUGGUGGUGCACCCCUGUGAUCCCAGUGACUCAGGAGACCCGGGGAGGCAGGAGGAUUGCGAGUUCGAGGCUCGCCGUGGUGACUUAGAAAGAUCCUGAAUCCACAUAAAAAAAUCUAAGUGGCUUAGGGCCUUGCUCAGUUUCUGAGACUGGCUUUGAACUUGUGAUCUUCCUGCCUCAGCCUCCCAAGCUGCUGGGAUCGAAAUUAUUUUUUUAAAAAAAUUAAAAAGAGGCUGGGGAUACAGCUCAGAGGUCAGGUGCCCUGGGUUCAAUCCCAUUUCCACACACACACCAUCUGGGAGCAUUUGCUCAUCCAUUUAUUCACUCAGCAAAUGAAGGCACCUCCAGCACACAGAGCGCCCACUAGGAGGCUACCCUGAUUCAGCGCUGCAGGACAGAGGCCGAUAGGGUGGAGGCUGUCUAAUGCGGAGGGCAGACUGGGUAGGUGACCACAGGUGUGUGGGUGACAGCUGCCAACAGAGCCGCUGAGCUGGGCACGGAGGCCCACGCCUGUAAUCCCAGCAGCUUGGGAGGCUGAGGCAGGAGGAUCGUGAGUUCAAAGCCAGCCUCAGCAACUUAGCAAGGCCCUGAGAAACUCAGUGAGACUCUGUCUCCAAAUAAAAAAUAAAAAGGGCUGGGGAUGUGGCUCAGUGAUCAAAUGCCCCUGGGUUUAAUCCCCAGUACCACAAACAAACAAAACUUCUUUUGGAUACAGAACUGGUUAUUUUUGUUUGUUGGUUGGUUGGUUGGUUGGUAUAGGGGGAUUGAACUCAACCACUGAGCCACAUCCCCAGCCCUAUUUUAUUUAGUGACAAAUUCUCACUGAGUUGCUUAGGGCCUCGCCAUUGCUGAGGCUGGCUUUGAACUCACGAUCCUCCUGUCUCAGCCUCCAGAGCUGCUGGGAUUACAGGUAUGUGCCACUGUGCCCUGCUCCUACCUUUUAAAUUUAGCAUUCUAAUAUAAGCAUUUUUUUUCCAUGUAUUUACAAAUCCUUUGCAAACUCACUUUCAUUAGCUGCAGAUCCCUCUAUCCGGGAUUAAUACCCAAGUUCACUAAACCAGUCUCCUAUUAUUGGGCAGUUGGAUGUUGUUCUGCUUUUAUAAACAACACUGUGCUGGACAUCUUUGUGCCAUAAGCUUCUCCAUAGCUCUGUUAUUCCCAGAAGAGGAAUUCCUUAGUCAGAGGGUCUGAAUAUUUUGCAAUCCAGAGUAUAAAGAAUCUGUCCUCUAUCUUCUCACAGGGGAGGAGAAUUCCACUCAAGGACUCAGCAAAACUUCAAUAAGCACCCCGCUGGGCUCUUCCUGUGUGGGGCCCAAGUGGCGAAGCCCUAAGUCACAUUCUGAGGUUGUUUAUUCCAUUUGGUCAGUGGGCUCAGAGCCAAAGGCAGACUUGGAGCCAACUAUCAAUUAUCUAUCCUCACAAGGACAGGAAUAGCCUGCUGAUAUAAAAAGAAGCCAAGGAAAAUGCCCAAAUUUUGUUUUUGAUGUUGGUUUCCCUUCCUCCCCGUGGUGCCUCCUGGAGCCACUGAUAUGUGCUGGACUCAGGGAGGCCAUCUUUCUCCCACUCUGGGGACAAGUCAGCCACAAGGUGGUCAGGAGACGGGGGAGAAGAGGCCCGGCUGCCUGGGCGCGGGUGAAGGGCCCCUUCAGGAAGGAGACCGGCUGCACCUUUGAAGAUCAAUGUCACCAUCUCCUCUUUCUCUGAUUGUCAAGUGACUUCUCUCCGUUGCUGAGCCUGGCUUUGGGCCCAGUGUGGAGCCCCGUGAGCAAGGCUGUGAUCAGAGAGAUAGAUGUCUAUCUCCUUCCUGUUUAGCACCGACUUUCCUGUCGGAUGAGUCAACCUGUGCCCGUGUGCCCACAGCGUGAGGGUGGGCACUCUCGCUGGUUGGGUGGGACGGACCAGAGGCUCAGGGAGAGUUGGGGGGAAUGGGAAUGUCAGGGACAGGAGUGUCACCAAGGGCCACUGAAUGGUGGUUGCACGUGGUCUUCGGGCUGGCCUUGAUUUGAAGGAGGCCCAUUUUCCUUCCCUCUAAAAGAAGACGUUGCUGUUUUGUUUUUUAGUCCUGGGGAUUGAGCCCCGGGGGUGCCCUAUCACUGGGCCACAUCCCCAGCUCUUUUUACUUUUUGUUUUGAGACAGGGUCUUGUUAAGUGGCCCGGACUGGCCUAGAACCUGGGGUCCUUCUGCCUCGGCCUCUUGAUUCAUUAGGAUCACGGGCAUGAUCCACCAUGUCUUGAUGUUUCCCUUUUCAAAAAUAAAUGGACUGGGGACUGACGAUGGAUAGCCUGUGGGACAGGACAAAUUGAGGGAUUAGCAGGGACUUGCUGGUGCUCCACCAGGACAACCCUGCCUGCCUCAGUCCCCCUUUUGCCUAGCCGUGGAGACCUCCCUUCUUGGGAUGCUUGGGGAACUCAGCCGCUCUCCGGAGGCUGGCAGAAUCUCUGGGGUUUGAGACCAGCUGCUGAUGGGAUGAAUCAUCAUCACGCCUUGGAGCCGAGCCUGGGCGCUCCAGACCUCCAGGGCCACCAGCUGUUGGGUUCAUCGCAGGGGACCGUCACAUGGGUGUGAUGUGUCUUUGUGUGUUUGCGUGCAGGUUCAAGAAGACGUGGAAGCCACAGGCCCUGAAAGAGUGCAAGACGGGCGUGCACCCGCCGUAUUCCCUGGGGCAGUCCAAGCCCACCAUUGUGCUGGCUCCCCUCCUUUCCCCACCUGUGUCCCCCAGCAGCCUCGGCUCAGACAGCACCUCGAGCCACAGCCGACCAGAUGCCAGGGACUCGCGGAGCCCUUACGACAUCAGCAACAGAGACUACUUCUUCGCCAGAUAGCUGUCUGGGUGGCCCCUGGCAGCGGGGUGACAGAGGUGCUGAAUUGUGUGGGUGACGCAGCCCACGCUGGCUCUGGAAAGACGCUUCUCACUGCCAUUCCAGCUCAUCUCAGGGGCGUGGGGCAUUUGGCUUCACGGUGACGGAAGAGCCUGCAGAAGGUUCUAGACUGGUGGAAAUCGGCUUGCUACACCUGUUCUGAAGGAAGAGCUGGUUGAGCUUUCAAACCGCUCUUCCCAAGCGCUCUGCUUCGGGGGGUCUCAGCGACUCAGGACACUGUGAAGAGAGCCGCGCCAAGACUCGAUGGGACCGAGGGUGUGGAGGAGCUGCCGGGCACCCCCACACCCGGACUCAUCUCUGCCAGCCGAACCCUCAGGCAGGGGCAGGGGCUUCCAGGAGGCCUGCCGUGGUGGCUGGCUCCUGCCCCUGCCCAGUCGCACCUUGUCCCUCCGACUCUGGAAACCCAAGUGCCUUUGCCAUUCUGUUUCCUGGACUGAGGAUGGCUUUGUGCAAACCACUGAGGCUGGGGAGGGAGCUCUUUCCUGCCUUCCCCCCACACUUGAAAAGCAGCUGGUGUGUGAGUGUGAGUGUGAGUGUGUGUGCAGGGGGUGGUGAAUAAGUCUCAGGGCCGAUGGUUUAAGUGGAAUCAUAAUCAGCUCCUCACGAGUGUUGUGCUCAAUGUGAAUGAUAACCCUAGGCUUUUGCUGGCUACAGAAGCAGCUGCGCCAACUUUGUCCCCCUGUUGGGGUCUCAGGGCUUGAGGACAGAAGCAGAGAGGAAGGAGGGGAGUAGGGACAGGGUCUUCAAGGUCCCCUGUUGUAGCUGAGGGGGACCCCAGCCUCUGGAAACCAGUUUCCUCUCCCCCCUGCCAGUGCUGGGAGCCAAGUCAGUUGACUUCAUCUUGGUUGGUUGGGGUGCCGACCGGACCUGAGUGAUCAGUGUAGACGGUGUCGGUGUGAAAGGAAAAACGAAUCCGCAAGAAUGUGCUUCGUGUUUUUGAAAACCUGCUCUUUUCUCUUGAGGUGCUGGGAGCCUCAGUCUUCUCUGGAUUUCGGUUUAUAAAUAACUUGGGGCGGGGCACGAUGAUUCUGUUUAGCACCAAAGCAAGUCCACUCAAAAAAGGAGGAGGAGGAGAAGAAGUUUCCCUUAUGGAGAAGAGAUUCUGGUUUCAUUCUGUAUUUUGUUUUUGUCUUGCAAACCGUAAAAAUAGUCUCUGCCUCUUCUCUGAAUUGGGGAAAAAGUCACUUGUGACUGUCCCCCUGCCCCUCCCCUAGGUGGUUAGGAAAGAAAGGGUGUCCCCCUUCCUGUUGUGAUGCCGCCCACGAGUACCCGGCAGGGUCCUAGAAAGUCCCCACUGAGACUCAGAAGGGAGGUUCAUUUUUUUAAAAAUAUAAAUCCCUUACCUGGGUUUCUUCCUCUUUUUGUUUUGUUCCUUGAACUGGAUUCGGCUCAGCUCCCAUGGAAGCAGCCGAUGGGUGUCCAGCUGUGACACCCGUAACCACCAGCUCACUUUCCUGUCGGGGCUUUGAGAACUCAGUGAUGUUAGUGUCACCCAGACAGGUGACCACAGAGGAGAGCGGUGAUUAAAACGAGCUGUGGAGCCACAGACCCUGAAUUUACCAGACCACAAGGCUUUUCUAGAAGUUUACCCUUUUAGAAAAACACCACCGCCACCAGACACGUGGCGAAGGGUGGAAGCCCCCAUGUGUUCGCCAAGCGCCGGGUUCUGGGCGUCACUGUCUCGAGCCCUGGUGGCUCUCACAUCCUGCCGUCUUAGGCGGGUGGUCCACGGGGUUGACAAGAGUCAAGCAGGUGUUCAUGGCUCUCCUUUCCCCCCGCUCUGUCAGGUUUCUGAAUCACAAAAAUGCUGUGAAAGGAAAUGUUAGAAUGAGGAUCUGCAUGAGAGAGUGCGACUCUGCCCACGGCUCUUUAACUCUCACACAGUUCUGCCCACAGCCAGGCAGGGCCGCUGGUGGGGGACGUGAGAUCCAGAGAGUUCAUCGUCUCUGAGAGCGAGGCAGCUUUGAUCUCCAAAUUGUUAUUGCUUUCACUAUUAUUGUACCGGAACUGCCUUUUCUUUUGGGGGGAGGCGGUAUCACAGAGGGUUCCCCCCUUUACUUGUUGUAAGCUAGUGCCAGUGGAGGAAAGGCUGGCCUCUCUGGGCUCAGAGUCUGCUUCGUGGCCAGGCCCCUGCCUUAGGCUUUCUGUGUCUGAAUGGUUCCUGGACACGUGUCUCUGUCCACUAGUCCCAUGGAUCACUCUUCCUUAGGUCCCUGCAGUCCACAGGCUGCCUUGGAUCCUCAACAGGGCCGACACUACCUACGGCCUGCGCCCUCAGCCACAUAGCCAGAUGUUGAAGUGUGUGGACAGGGACCAUUGAAGGAGGAGGGAUGCACGAAUUUAGAAGCCCAUCUUGUUGGGUGGGCCCAGUCGAAAAUAUGCUGGACCCAGGUCUAACCUAAAGUGAUCAUCAGUUCUUGUAGCAUUAAUGACAUGUUUUUAAAAAAACAUUGGAUGUGUGUCGUACAAGGUCUUUGGGGGACUCCGCGGUUUGCUCUGAUGGGGUCUCCCCCUGGCCGUUUGUUUGCCGGACCCUGAACUCACACUGGGCCUCCACCACUUCCCCGCUGUCUCAGGAGCAAGGCGUGGGCUCCGUUGUGGGAACUGGUUUGGGAGCCCCGUGGUCCUGAGUAGAGCCCAGCGGGCAGCCUGGGGCUGGCCAUGGCUUGUGAGUCUCUUGAAGAUUGUUCCGGAAUGUCUUGCCCAGCUGCUCCGGCGCUGUCUGUUCCCAUUGCAGGUCCUUAACAUUGACCCACUUGGGAAGGUGUCCCACCCCCAGUUCCAGGUGGAGAUGGUGACAAAUCUGUCCUCAUUUGGAGACGGGAGCCACCAACGGUCCUUCUCCAAACAGCAACCUGCAAUGGGGCUGUGGCCAGAAGGCUCCAGCAGCUGCCUCCGGCUUUGGGCCAGGCACUCCCAGGCGUCCCCUAAAAGUCCUUCCAGCCUCUGUCCCUAGUGUGGCUGGGCGCCAGCUCCAGGGAGUUCCCAUGGCAACCUUGAUGAUCGUUAAGGAACAUUGUCAGUUUUCUGAACAUGUGCUCAGAUGGAGAUCUGCUUUGGAAGGGAAGGACUGGGACAGCGAGAGACCUCGCUGGAGGAGCCCACGCCUGCUGACCACGAUACCUCAGCUCUGCAUCGCUUUUGGAGAGAAAUAGAUCAUCGUUUUAAGGGACUUCCCUCUUAAUUACCUGAAAACCAAUACCAAAGGCUGAUGUCAGUGUAUUUUGAUUUUUCAACGCUUUUUUCCUUUUAUCGCUAUUUUGCACUUAAAGUGAACAUGGUA